GUGGGAAAAAUUUGCGGCGGUGGCUAGAAAUUGAUGGAAACGGUGGUGAAAAACACACGAACUGGACUCUAACAAAGACCUCGACUAGGACACAAACUCAACACUGCGGACUCUGAAACUGAAAUAUGCAAAGGCUAUGGCGCGGAAGGGUUGUAGGACAGGAAAAUGAUAUGGUACUGGACUUAUGGGACGAACACAAGAACACUCCAAACUAAGGGUAGAUGUGAACCUAAUGUUAUACCUAAAGCUCUGAUUACCACUUGAUGAGAACAAGGGUGGCCCGAUCUUCUGAAAGGUUCUACUAACUCUCGAUUUGGUGGAGACGAGACACAAAUCGAUCCGGCUUCCGAACAACAUGAUCCGAAACCCUACAUUUUUUUUAUUUUUUUGAUGUUUUUCUUUUAGUUAGGAGCACCAAAGAAGUAACCACAUAAAAUUUGAGCUUAAACAAGUGAAAGACAUGGCCUGUGGAAUUAUCUGAAGAUUGUGAAAAAUGUGAAAAAACUUCACGAGGCGAAAACUCAAACUUUGGAGGUGAAUUUGCAGGUUCUAAAAUUUUCAAACCCACCAAAAGCUAGGACACACAGAUCCAAAAUUUUUUUCUGAUCGAUUUUGAUAUAUGGAACGUUAAAAUCGGAGUUCGUAUGUGAAAGUUAUGACUAUUUUACGAACGGACUCCGAAUUAGAGGAAAAAACGGUCUGAAAGUGGGAAAAAUUUGCGGUGGUGGCUAGAAAUUGAUGGAAACGGUGGGGAAAAGCACACGAACUGGACUCUAAUAAGACCUAACCAGUAACAAGACCUCAACAAGAACACAAACUCAACACUGCAGACUCUGAAACUGAAAUAUGCAAAGGCCAUGGCGCGAAAGGGUUAGGACACGAAAACGAAAUAGCACUGGACUUAUGGUACGAACAGAAUAACACUCAAAACUAAGGGUAGAUGUGAACCUAACGGUAUACCUAAUGCUUAUAUUACCACUUGAUGAGAAGAAGCGUGACCUGAUCUUCCAAAAGGUUCUGGUAUCUAUCGAUUUGGUGCAGACGAGACACAAAUCGAUCCGGCUUCCGAACAACAUGAUACGAAACCCUGCAAUUUUUUUUAUUUUUUUUGAUAUUUUUAUUUUAGUUAGGAGGACCGUAGGAGUAACCACAGAGAAUUUGAGCUUAAACAAGUUUAAGACAUGGCCUGCGGAAUUUUUUGAAGAUUGUGAAAAAUGUGAAAAAAAACUUCACGAGGUGAAAACUCAAACUUUGGAGGUGAAUUUUGAGGUUCAAAAAUUUUCAAACCCGCCAAUGGAGGGGACAGACAAAUCCAAAAAAAAUUUUUGGAUCGAUUUGAUAUAUGGAACGUUGAAAUCAAAGUUCGUAUGCGAAAGUUAUGGCUAUUUUACGAACGGACUACGAAUUAGAGGACAAAACAGUCUGAAAGUGGGAAAAAUUUGCGGUGGUGGCUAAAAAUUGAUGGAAACGGUAGGGAAAAUACACACGAACUGGACUCUAAUAAGACCUAACCAGCAACAAGACCUCAACAAGAACACAAACUCAACACUGCGGACUCUGAAACUAAAAUAUGCAAAGGCUAUGGCGCGAAAGGGUUGUAGGACACGAAAACGAAAAAGCACUGGACUUAUGGUACGAACACAAGAACACUCGAAACUAAGGGUUGAUGUGAACCUAACGAUAUACCUAAUGCUUUUAUUACCACUUGAUGAGAACAAGGGUGACCUGAUCUUCAAAAAGGUUCUGGUAUCUCUCUAUUUGGUGCAGACGAGACACAAAUCGAUCCGACUUCCGAACAACAUGAUACGAAACCUUGCAAUUUUUUUAUUUUUUUAAUAUUUUGCUUUUAGUUAGGAGCACCGUAGGAGUAACCACAGAAAAUUUGAGCUUAAACAAGUGAAAGACAUGGCCUACGGAAUUUUUUGAAGAUUGUGAAAAAUGUGAAAAAAACAUCACGAGGUGAAAACUCAAACUUUGGAGAUGAAUUUUCAGGUUCUAAAAUUUUCAAACCCGCCAAUGGAGGGGACAGACAGAUCCAAAAAGAAUUUUGGAUCAAUUUUCAUAUAUGGAACGUUGAAAUCGGAGUUCAUAUGUGAAAGUUACGGCUAUUUUAUGAACGGACUACGAAUUAGAGGACAAAACAGUCCGAAAGUGGGAAAAAUUUGCGGCGGUGGCUAGAAAUUGAUGGAAACGGUGGCGAAAAACACACGAACUGGACUCUAACAAAGACCUCGACUAGGACACAAACUCAACACUGCGGACUCUGAAACUGAAAUAUGCAAAGGCUAUGGCGCGGAAGGGUUGUAGGACAGGAAAAUGAUAUGGUACUGGACUUAUGGGACGAACACAAGAACACUCCAAACUAAGGGUAGAUGUGAACCUAAUGUUAUACCUAAAGCUCUGAUUACCACUUGAUGAGAACAAGGGUGGCCCGAUCUUCUGAAAGGUUCUACUAACUCUCGAUUUGGUGGAGACGAGACACAAAUCGAUCCGGCUUCCGAACAACAUGAUCCGAAACCCUACAUUUUUUUUAUUUUUUUGAUGUUUUUCUUUUAGUUAGGAGCACCAAAGAAGUAACCACAUAAAAUUUGAGCUUAAACAAGUGAAAGACAUGGCCUGUGGAAUUAUCUGAAGAUUGUGAAAAAUGUGAAAAAACUUCACGAGGCGAAAACUCAAACUUUGGAGGUGAAUUUGCAGGUUCUAAAAUUUUCAAACCCACCAAAAGCUAGGACACACAGAUCCAAAAUUUUUUUCUGAUCGAUUUUGAUAUGUGGAAUGUUAAAAUCGGAGUUCGUAUGUGAAAGUUAUGGCUAUUUUACGAACGGACUCCGAAUUAGAGGACAAAACGGUCUGAAAGUGGGAAAAAUUUGCGGUGGUGGCUAGAAAUUGAUGGAAACGGUGGGGAAAAACACACGAACUGGACUCUAACUAGACCUAACCAGCAACAGGACCUCAACAAGAACACAAACUCAAAACUGCGGACUCUGAAACUGAAAUAUGCAAAGGCUAUGGCGCGAAAGGGUUAGGACACGAAAACGAAAUAGCACUGGACUUAUGGUACGAACAGAAUAACACUCAAAACUAAGGGUAGAUGUGAACCUAACGGUAUACCUAAUGCUUUUAUUACCACUUGAUGAGAACAAGGGUGACCUGAUCUUCCAAAAGGUUCUGGUAUCUAUCGAUUUGGUGCAGACGAGACACAAAUCGAUCCGGCUUCCGAACAUCAUGAUACGAAACCCUGCAAUUUUUUUUAUUUCUUUUGAUAUUUUUAUUUUAGUUAGGAGCACCGUAGGAGUAACCACAGAGAAUUUGAGCUUAAACAAGUUUAAGACAUGGCCUGCGGAAUUUUUUGAAGAUUGUGAAAAAUGUGAAAAAAAACUUCACGAGGUGAAAACUCAAACUUUGGAGGUGAAUUUUGAGGUUCAAAAAUUUUCAAACCCGCCAAUGGAGGGGACAGACAGAUCCAAAAAAAAUUUUUGGAUCGAUUUGAUAUAUGGAACGUUGAAAUCAAAGUUCGUAUGCGAAAGUUAUGGCUAUUUUACGAACGGACUACGAAUUAAAGGACAAAACAGUCUGAAAGUGGGAAAAAUUUGCGGUGGUGGCUAAAAAUUGAUGGAAACGGUAGGGAAAAAACACACGAACUGGACUCUAAUAAGACCUAACCAGCAACAAGACCUCAACAAGAACACAAACUCAACACUGCGGACUCUGAAACUGAAAUAUGCAAAGGCUAUGGCGCGAAAGGGUUGUAGGAUACGAAAACGAAAAAGCACAGGACUUAUGGUACGAACACAAGAACACUCGAAACUAAGGGUUGAUGUGAACCUAACGAUAUACCUAAUGCUUUUAUUACCACUUGAUGAGAACAAGGGUGACCUGAUCUUCAAAAAGGUUCUGGUAUCUCUCUAUUUGGUGCAGACGAGACACAAUUCGAUCCGGCUUCCGAACAACAUGAUACGAAACCUUGCAAUUUUUUUUAUUUUUUUAAUAUUUUGCUUUUAGUUAGGAGCACCGUAGGAGUAACCACAAAAAAUUUGAGCUUAAACAAGUGAAAGACAUGGCCUAUGGAAUUUUUUGAAGAUUGUGAAAAAUGUGAAAAAAACAUCACGAGGUAAAAACUCAAACUUUGGAGAUGAAUUUUCAGGUUCUAAAAUUUUCAAACCCGCCAAUGGAGGGGACAGACAGAUCCAAAAAGAAUUUUGGAUCAAUUUUCAUAUAUGGAACGUUGAAAUCGGAGUUCAUAUGUGAAAGUUAUGGCUAUUUUACGAACAGACUACGAAUUAGAGGACAAAACAGUCCGAAAGUGGGAAAAAUUUGCGGCGGUGGCUAGAAAUUGAUGGAAACGGUGGCGAAAAACACACGAACUGGACUCUAACAAAGACCUCGACUAGGACACAAACUCAACACUGCGGACUCUGAAACUGAAAUAUGCAAAGGCUAUGGCGCGGAAGGGUGGUAGGACAGGAAAAUGAUAUGGUACUGGACUUAUGGGACGAACACAAGAACACUCCAAACUAAGGGUAGAUGUGAACCUAAUGUUAUACCUAAAGCUCUGAUUACCACUUGAUGAGAACAAGGGUGGCCCGAUCUUCUGAAAGGUUCUAGUACCUCUCGAUUUGGUGGAGACGAGACACAAAUCGAUCCGGCUUCCGAACAACAUGAUCCGAAACCCUACAUUUUUUUUUAUUUUUUUGAUGUUUUUCUUUUAGUUAGGAGCACCAAAGAAGUAACCACAUAAAAUUUGAGCUUAAACAAGUGAAAAACAUGGCCUGUGGAAUUAUCUGAAGAUUGUGAAAAAUGUGAAAAAACUUCACGAGGUGAAAACUCAAACUUUGGAGGUGAAUUUGCAGGUUCUAAAAUUUUCAAACCCACCAAAAGCUAGGACACACACAUCCAAAAUUUUUUUCUGAUCGAUUUUGAUAUAUGCAACGUUAAAAUCGGAGUUCGUAUGUGAAAGUUAUGGCUAUUUUACGAACGGACUCCGAAUUAGAGGACAAAACGGUCUGAAAGUGGGAAAAAUUUGCGGUGGUGGCUAGAAAUUGAUGGAAACGGUGGGGAAAAACACACGAACUGGACUCUAACUAGACCUAACCAGCAACAGGACCUCAACAAGAACACAAACUCAACACUGCGGACUCUGAAACUGAAAUAUGCAAAGGCUUUGGCGUGAAAGGGUUGUAGGACACGAAAAUGAUAUAGCACUGGACUUAUGGUACAAACACAAGAACACUCGAAACUAAGGGUGGAUGUGAACCUAACGGUAUACCUAAAACUUUGAUUACCACUUGAUGAGAACAUGAGUGACCUGAUCUUUCAAAAGGUUCUGGUAACUCUAGAUUUGGUGGAGACGAGAAACAAAUCGAUCCGGCUUCCGAACAACAUCAUAUGAAACCGUGCAAUUUUUUUAUUUUUUUGAUAUUUUUCUUUUAGUUAUGAGCACCAAAGGAGUAACCACAGAAAAUUUGAGCUUAAACAAGUGAAAGACAUGGCCUGUGGAAUUUUUUGAAGAUUGUGAAAAAUGUGAAAAAAACUUCACGAGGUGAAAACUCAAACUUUGGAGGUGAAUUUUGAGGUUCUAAAAUUUUCAAACCCAACAAUGGAGGGGACAGACAGAUCCAAAAAAAAUUUCGGAUCGAUUUUGAUAUAUGGAACGUUGAAAUCGGAGUUCGUAUGCGAAAGUUAUGGCUAUUUUACGUACGGACUACGAAUUAGAGGACAAAACCGUCCGAAAGUGGGAGAAAUUUGCGGUGGUGGCUAGAAAUUGAUGGAAACGGUAGGGGAAAACACACGAACUGGACUGUAAUAAGACCUAACCAGCAACAAGACCUCGACCAGGACAAACUCAACAAUGCGGACUCUGAAACUAAAAUAUGCAGAGGCUAUGGCGUGGAAGGGUUGUAGGACAGGAAAACGAUAUGUUACUGGACUUAUGGGACGAACACAGGAACACUCGAAACUAAGGGUAGAUGUGAAACUAAUGGUAUACCUAAAGCUUUGAUUACCACUUGAUGAGAAAAAGGGUGGCCCGAUCUUUCGAAAGGUUCUGGUAACUCUCGAUUUGGUGGAGACGAGACACAAAUCGAUCCGGCUUCCGAACAACACGAUCUGAAACCCUACAGUUCUUUUUUAUUUUUUUAAUAUUUUUCUUUUAGUUAGGAGCACCGAAAGAGUAACCACAUAAAAUUUGAGUUCAGACAAGUGAAAGACACGGCCUGCGGAAUUUUCUGAAGAUUGUGAAAAAUGUGAAAAAAACAUCACGAGGUGAAAACGCAAACUUGGGAGGUGAAUUUGGAGGUCCUAAAAUUUUCAAACUUGCCAAAGGCAGGGACAUACAGAUCUGAAUUUUUUUUCUGAUCGAUUUUGAUAUAUGGAACGUUGAAAUCGGAGUUCGUAUGGGAAAGUUAUGGCUAUUUUACGAACGGACUCCGAAUUAGAGGACAAAAUGGUCCAAAAGUGGGAAAAAUUUGCGGUGGUGGCUAGAAAUUGAUGGAAACGGUGGGGAAAAACACACGAACUAGACUCUAACAAGACCUAACAAGCAACAAGACCUCAACCAAGACACAAACUCAACACUGCGGACUCUGAAACUGAAAUAUGCAAAGGCUAUGGCGCGUAAGGGUUGUAGGACAUGAAAACGAUAUGGCCCUGGACGUUUGGGACGAACACAAGAACACUCGAAACUAAGGGUAGAUGUGAACCUAACAGUAUACCUAAAGCUUUGAUUACCACUUGAUGAGAACAAGGGUGACCUCAUCUUCCAAAAGGUUUGUAACUCUCGAUUUGGUGCAGACGAGACACAAAUCGAUCCGGAUUCCGAACAACACGAUCCAAAACCCUACAAUUUUUUUUAUUUUUUCGAUAUUCUUCUUUUAGUUAGGAGUAACCACAGAAAAUUUGAGCUUAAACAAGUGAAAGACAUGGCCUGUGGAAUUUUCUGAAGAUUGUGAAAAAUGUGAAAAAAACUUCACGAGGUGAAAACUCAAAGUUCGGAGGAGAAUUUUAAGGUUCUAAAAUUUUCAAACCUCCCUACAAUGGGGACAUGCAGAUCCGAAAUUUUUUUCUGAUCGAUUUUGAUAUAUGGAACAUUGAAAUCGGAGUUCGUAUGCGAAAGUUAUGGCUAUUUUACAAACGAACUCUGAAUUAUAGGACAAAACGGUCCGAAAGUGGAAAAAAUUUGCGGCGGUGGCUAGAAAUUGAUGGAAACAAAGGGGAAAAGACACAAACUGGACUCUAACAAGACCUAUCCAGCAACAAGACCUCGACCAGGACAAACUCAACACUGCAGACUCUAAAACUGAAAUAUGCAGAGGCUAUGGCGCGGAAGGGUUGUAGGACUGGAAAACGAUAUGUUAUUGGACUUAUGGGACGAACACAGGAACACUCGAAACAAAGGGUAGAUGUGAACCUAAUGGUAUACCUAAUGCUUUGAUUACCACUUGAUGAGAACAAGGGUGGCCUGAUCUUCCGAAAGGUUCUGGUAACUCUCGAUUUGGUGGAGACGAGACACAAAUCGAUCCGGCUUCCGAACAACACGAUCCGAAACCUUGCAAUUGUUUUUUAUUUUUUUGAUAUUUUUAUUUUAGUUAGGAGCACCAAAAGAGUAACCACAUAAAAUUUGAGUUUAAACAAGUGAAAAACAUGGCCUGUGGAAUUAUCUGAAGAUUGUGAAAAAUGUGAAAAAACUUCACGAGGUGAAAACUCAAACUUUGGAGGUGAAUUUGCAGGUUCUAAAAUUUUCAAACCCACCAAAAGCUAGGACACACAGAUCCAAAAAUUUUUUCUGAUCGAUUUUGAUAUAUGGAACGUUGAAAUAGGAGUUCGUAUGGGAAAGUUAUGGCUAUUUUACGAACGGACUCCGAAUUAGAGGACAAAACGGUCCAAAAGUGGGAAAAAUUUGCGGUGGUGGCUAGAAAUUGAUGGAAACGGUGGGGAAAAACACACGAACUGGACUCUAACUAGACCUAACCAGCAACAGGACCUCAACAAGAACACAAACUCAACACUGCGGACUCUGAAACUGAAAUAUGCAAAGGCUUUGGCGCGAAAGGGUUGUAGGACACGAAAAUGAUAUAGCACUGGACUUAUGGUACAAACACAAGAACACUCGAAACUAAGGGUGGAUGUGAACCUAACUGUAUACCUAAAACUUUGAUUACCACUUGAUGAGAACAAGAGUGACCUGAUCUUCCAAAAGGUUCUGGUAACUCUAGAUUUGGUGGAGACGAGAAACAAAUCGAUCCGGCUUCCGAACAACAUCAUAUGAAACCGUGCAAUUUUUUUAUUUUUUUGAUAUUUUUCUUUUAGUUACGAGCACCAAAGGAGUAACCACAGAAAAUUUGAGCUUAAACAAGUGAAAGACGUGGCCUGUGGAAUUUUUUGAAGAUUGUGAAAAAUGUGAAAAAAACUUCACGAGGUGAAAACUCAAACUUUGGAGGUGAAUUUUGAGGUUCUAAAAUUUUCAAACCCAACAAUGGAGGGGACAGACAGAUCCAAAAAAAAAUUUCGGAUCGAUUUUGAUAUAUGGAACGUUGAAAUCGGAGUUCGUAUGCGAAAGUUAUGGCUAUUUUACGUACGGACUACGAAUUAGAGGACAAAACCGUCCGAAAGUGGGAAAAAUUUGCGGUGGUGGCUAGAAAUUGAUGGAAACGGUAGGGAAAAACACACGAACAGGACUGUAAUAAGACCUAACCAGCAACAAGACCUCGACCAGGACAAACUCAACAAUGCGGACUCUGAAACUGAAAUAUGCAAAGGCUAUGGCGCGGAAGGGUUGUAGGACAUGAAAACGAUAUGGCCCUGGACGUUUGGGACGAACACAUGGAAUAACACUAGGAGUGUUACAUCAUCGGCAGUAAUCUAGUGCUGAGGAUCCACCGAUGUGCUUUUUUCAGCUGCCUCUGAAGUCAAUACUUUGGUCUUUCCCUUAGCAUCCAACAUAUUUGUAGGGAAAUGAUGUUGGUCGAUCUUCAUCGGCUUUUGAGCUUUGGAGUUAUCGAACCUAAUUCUCCCAAACUCUAUAGCCGACUGCAGCUGCUGCCUGAAAACUUUGCAUUCAUUUGUACUAUGAGAUGUUGCAUUAUGCCACUUGCAAUACUUAAUCUUCUUUAAUUCUUCUGCCGAUGGAAUCACAUGGUUAGGUGACAACUGAAUUUGCCCCUCCUGAAGCAAAAAGUCAAAUAUCCUAUCGGCUUUGGUGAUGUAAAAUGCAAACUUUUCUGGAUCUUUAUGCCCAAAAGGGCAAGACAUCGGCUUUUUAUUUUUUACCCAUUCUGCCAAGCUGAUGACUGGCUCUUCAUCAGAAUCUGAGCUCGUUGCCUCAUCGACAAAUGACACCUUUUUGUUCCAUGCCCUCUUGGGUUCAAAAGCUUUGAUAUCUUGGUCAGAAAUCCACUGCACUAAAUGGCUCAGACUUUCAAACUCUUGAGAAGCAUACUUGUCUUUAAUGUGUGGCAACAACCCUUGGAAAGCCAAAUUGGGGAGCUGCCGAUCAUCCAAAACCAGACUAUAACAUUUAUUCUUAACAUCUCGCAACCUUUGCACAAAGCUCUCAACCGAUUCGUCAUUGCUCUGCCUUAGCCUGACUAAAUCGGUAAUCUUCUUCUCAUGCACUCCAAAAAAGAAGUAUUUAUGGAACUAUUUUUCUAGAUCGGCCCAGGUGAUCACUGAGUUUGGAGGUAAUGAAAUAAACCAAGUAAAGGCCGAUCCAGACAAAGAUGAUGAGAAUAAGCGAACCCUUAACUCAUCUCUGUUAGCAGUUUCCCCAUACUGGAUGAUGAACCUAUUAACAUGCUCCAUGGUUGACGUAUCAUCCUGCCCCGAAAACUUGAUGAAAUCCGGCACCUUGUACCGAUUUGGAAGCGGAAUUAAGUCAUAUGCUGGAGGAUAUGGUGUCCGAUAAGAGUAAGUGUUGACUUUGGGUUUUAUCCCAAAUUGGUCUCUCAUCACCUCAGCUAUCUUAUCGGCCCAGUAAGCAUCAGCAUAUUGCCGAUGAGCUUGUUGUGGAUUCGGCAUCUGCUGAUAAGCUUCCACAUGUCUCUGCAGUGCACGAUCCCUACAGAACAUAGGAUUAGCCACCGCCUGUUGACCACCAACUUGGUGACCAAGAUUCAUCGGCUGGUUGAUCAACCCUUGAUUUUGAAAUCCAGGUUGCAUUGGUCCUUAUUGAAAUCCCAUAGCCUGAUGAUUUUGCUGAGGCAUCUAUGGAAAGACAAACUGCCCUGUCCAUCCAUUGUUAACAUUCAUCGGCGUAGGUCCUGCCGAUGGCUGAUAAUUGGGCAUCAUCAUCAAAUUGACAUACCCUAGCUGUGUCAUAAACCUUUGCUGUGUCAGCAUUGGAUCUGCCGAUGCAUUAGGCAUCUAGAACGUUGGCAUUUGAGAAUUCCUAGCAAAAGGUCUUGUAGUAGUAGUUGUAGAAUACUUGGGAUUCUGAGUCAUCGGUGAGCCUGGGGGUGCCGAUGCCAUAGGAGCAUUGCCUGUCAUGUCAGCCACUUGAGAUGUCCCAGAACUUUUUGCCAUAAAUUCUGGGGGCAUACCAUAUCCCCACCAAUUGGGAGGAACAAAUACUGACAUUGCUGAUGCUAAUAAAUCUGUAGCAAGUUUGACUUGUCCCUCUGAUGUUGAUGGAUUAGUCGUCAUCGGUGUAGAUUGCGCAUUAGUCAUCCCUAAUGUGCUUGGAGGAGAAGUAACUUCCGUACCUGCAACCGCUGUAGUAGCCGAUGGAGCCGUAACCGAUGAUGAUCCUGGCUGNNNNNNNNNNNNNNNNNNNNNNNNNNNNNNNNNNNNNNNNNNNNNNNNNNNNNNNNNNNNNNNNNNNNNNNNNNNNNNNNNNNNNNNNNNNNNNNNNNNNGGCUAGAGUAUAGUGAGUCCAAGGAUGCUGCUUAUUGCUUAUAUUGUUAUCUUUUCUUUAAUUCGGGGAAGACAGAAAAAUUUGGAAGUUCUGUCUUUGCGCGAUCGAGGUUAUCAAAAUUGGAAGAAUGCUAAGGAUACUUUUCAUAAGCAUAGUGCUUCGAAGACUCAUACAGAGGCCAGACUGAAGUGUGAUGAUUUUAUGAACCAAAGGACAAGUGUGGGUCAAAGAAUAGUUGAGGUAAGCACGGAGGAAGAAAAACGAUAUGAGAUUCGUCUGACAUCAUCUUUAGAUGUUGCAAGAUUUCUCAUAUAUCAAGGGCAACCUUUUCGUGGAGAUGAUGAGAGUUCUACUUCCCUCAACAAGGGUAUGUUUAGAGAGAUGGUUGAUUGGUAUAAGGAUAAGGUAGAUAUAGUCAAUGAUGCAUAUGAAAAAGGUUCUAAAAAUUUCCAGAUGAUAUCUCUUGAUAUACAAAAGGAUCUUACAAAAGCUUGUCCUGAGGAAGUCACAGCUGUCAGUAUGGAUGAGAUCCUUGGUAGAAAAUUCUCAGUGCUUAUUGAGGAGUCUCGGGAUGUAUCAAUAAAAGAGCAAAUGGCAGUGAUUCUAAGGUUAGUAUUCCACAGUUGCAAUUUUGUUCAUAGAUUUUAUUAUAAUUAUUUCUGCAAUUAUACUAACACAUAAAUAAAUAUACUGUGUAGGUUUGUGAAUGAUAAAGGGAAAGUGGUGGAGAGAUUUCUUGGGCUUCAGCAUGUUCAGAGUUGUACAGCUAUUGCAUUGAAAGAGGCUUUGGUCAGUAUGCUUUCAAGUCACAAUUUGUCUAUCUCUAUGCUUCGUGGGCAAGGGUAUGAUGGAGCCUCUAAUAUGAGAGGUGAAUUUAAUGGGGUCCAAAAACUGAUCCGUGAUGAAAAUCCUUAUGCUUUCUAUGUGCAUUGUUUUGCCCAUCAAUUGCAACUAGUGGUGGUUGCUGUUUCAACUUCUAGUGCAGAUAUUGCAGAUUUCUUUAACUAUGUUCCUUUAAUAGUCACCAAUGUGGGUGCAUCUUGUAUGAGAAAAGAUGCUUUGCUUGCAAAGCAUCAAGAUGUGUUGCUAGAAAAUAUUGAGAAGGGUGAGAUUAUGACUGGAAGAGGUUUAAAUCAAGAAAGUAGCCUAGCUAGGCCAGGAGAUACUAGAUGGGGUUCACAUCUUAAAACUUUGCUUCGCAUUUUGGUGAUUUGGGAGGCUAUCAUAGAUGUGCCUGAGAUAGUGAAGAAAGAUUCUAUUAAACCAAGAAAUAACAGUGGAGCUUUAGGAUUAAUUAAAAAAAUGGAGAGCUUUGGUUUUGUGUUCAUCCUGCAUUUGAUGAUACAAUUGUUGAGCAUGACAGAUAUUUUGUCACAAGCUUUGCAAAAGAAGGAUCAAGACAUAGUUGAAGCAAUGCAUUUGAUCUCAGAUGUGAAAGAUAGCUUGCAGGAUAUGAGGGAAAAUGGAUGGGAGCCAUUACUCAAAAGAGUGAUAACAUUUUAUGAGAAGAAUGAGAUUGAAGUGCCGGAUAUGGAUAAGGAAAUAAAUGUUAGAGGGACAUCUAGAAGAAGGAAGCAAAAGGUAACAAACAUGCAUUACUAUCAUGUUGAACUUUUUCUGGUCGCCAUUGAUGCCCUCUUGACUGAGAUGAAUCACCGGUUUAGUGAAACUAGUUCAGAGUUAUUACUAUGUAUGGCUGCUUUUAACCUAAGGAACUCCUUCUCUAAUUUUGAUGUGGACAAACUUGUGAGGCUUGCUGAAAUUUAUGCCGAUGAUUUUGAUAUUGGUGAACUUGCUGUUUUGCCAAAUCAUCUUACACAGUUUGUCAACCGUGCUAGAAGAACUCCAGACUUUCUUGGAUGCAUUGAGCUUGGAAAAGUUGCUGAAAUUAUGGUCAAGACUAAAAUGCAUACAUCUUAUAAAUUGGUUUAUCGUCUCAUUGAGCUAAUCUUGAUACUGCCGGUGGCAACAGCUUCAGUUGAGAGAAUAUUUUCAGCCUUGAACAUUAUAAAGAUAGAUUUGCGCAAUAAAAUGGGUGAUGAAUGGCUCAAUGAUUUGAUGAUAUGUUAUACUGAGAAGGAGAUAUUUAGAAAGAUUGAUAAUGGAAAGAUCAAAAAGCGGUUUCAAGAGAUGAAAAAGCGACGUAUGUUAUUGCCUAGAAAAGUAGUGGUACGCUCUAUUCUCUUCUAAAUUUAUAAUUUGGAGGUCCAUAUAUGUAUCACUAUUAUGUCUAUUUGCGUAGGUUGCAGCUUCGGAGGAAUAAUGUGGGGCAAGCGUAGUGAUUAGUUUUGCAAUUGGUCCUUUCGGUAUUUAUGAACUUCAUCUUUUUCUUUCAUGACAUAUUUUGUGAAUUUUUGUUGUUGGUCGACGUUUUCAAUAUAAGCUUGAUUUAUGCUAUUAUAUAUACGUCUAUUGUGAAAGGGUCAUAGUAGAGAUAAAUUGUCGUAGACUUGUUCAGCCCGCCCUAAAUUUUUUUUCUAGCUUCGUCGAUGCUCCCACGCCGCAUCCCCUCUCCACAAGGAACCGCAGCCCCCUGAUGUGCUCGUGUCGAGGUCGGCUUUCGGCGACGAUCUCCACGAUGGCCUGCGAGCUUGGCUCCGGAUUCGCGCCUGAGUGACGGCGCGGCUUCGGCCGAUCACCUGCUCCGGUCCUGCCUCACCUGACCGAGCCGUGCUCGUGCGCGCCGACCAGUCGACGGACGACGACCGAGCCGCACUCGUGCGCAGCAGGUGGAGGAGGACUGGGUCGCCGCGGAACCUGGCUUCUAGGACGCCAAGCUCCAAGCUCGUCUCGCCCGCCACCGGAGGACCUCGCCAAGCCGCACGCGACGCGACGCCUGCGACCCCUACACCGGCCUCUGGAACUGGUCCAACCCGGCUUCUACGACGCCCAGCUCCAAGCUCGUCUCGCCCGCCACCGGACGACCUCGCCAAGCCGCACGCGACGCGACGCCUGCGACCCCUACACCGGCCUCUGGAACUAGAACUGGUCCAUGUCCGUUCCUUGCUCCCCUCCCCUUACUGAUUUGUUUUGUUUCAGCACCUGAUUUUGGUAGUGAUUUGUUUCUGAAUCCUGGAUAGAUAGAAUCGUUUCAGCACUUUGUUAUUGAUUUGUUUUGUUUCAGCACCUGAUUUUGGUAGUGUUUUAUUUCUGAAACCUGGAUAGAUAGAAUCGUUUCAGUACCUGCAUUUUUGUAUUGAUCUGAACCUGCAUUUUCUGAUAGAUCUUUUGACAGUGAGGACACUACUACUACUAUUAGGCAGUAGCAAUCACUACAUUAAACCUGAAAUUUCUUAUUGAUCUCAGCCUGUUUCGCUUGGUCAUCUCGAAGUGAUGUGAGCCUUGGAAAUGUACUGAAUUGAAAUCCACUUGCGGCAAUGUCUUUUAUAAAAUCACUGUACUUUUGGUAGUUCUAUAAUGGCUGAGUAGGAGUGUUUUGGCUUUGCAAGUAAUUUUUUUUAGACAAUGGAUUCAACUCUGGGCUGCAAAACAGUAAAGAUUUACGUUUUAGAAUCACCUAGCUGGAUGCUUGCAACAGAUGUAUGUUUCUCCAAAAAGGGUUGGAGGAAAGUAGAUAUCCUUUUCAAUCGAUCAUCAUACUUUUGUCACUAUGCCCUGUCUAUAUUUUCUUUUAUAAACAUUAUUUGCAGGUUUUAGAAGAUUUACGCACUAUUUGGAACUGUGUACUGACAGAAAAGCUGCAUAUCAACCCAAGAGACAGAGGUCUAUAUUCUGCAAUUCUUGUUCUUGGGAAGACAUUUGACAACCUAGGUAUUUCUCCCUUCAUCAUACAUAGAAUUUUACGGUGCAAGGUGGGCUCACCAGUUUAUGAAGUACAUCUUUUUGUCUUGAUGAAAAGCUGAUUUCCUGUAGUUAGCACUUUUGUCUAUUUUGUAGAGAUAUAUAGAUAAUAACCAAUAGUUUGUAUAUGGAUGUAGUUUGUCUUGGAUGGUACUACUAUGCACACUAUGCAGCUAAGAAGUAAGCCUGUUGCUUUAUUAAUUAGUCAAAAUUUUGAUAACCUGUAAUGUGUGCAAUCCCCCUGCUUGGCUUAUCUGGUUGGAAAAUAGAUAGAUGAUGUCCAGUUAGAAGAUGAGGAUUGGUUGGACAAUAGAUGAUAUAUGGACAAUUGGAGAUAUAAUAUGAGGAUUCACAGUUGAAAUGCUGAUUAAAACUAAAUUAGGUCUAACUUGGUGGAAUGGCAUCUUCGGUUUAUUCUCCUGUUUACUCUUUUCAUUGCCUGUCACUAUAUUGAAAACUGAGAGGCCUAAAUGCAAUGUCAAUCCAUAGUUUCUUAGUUAUGCUAAUACAAGAAAAAUGCUACCAUUUGUUCGCCUGCUGCCUUUCAGAUCCAUGGGAAUAGUUUUGCAUAUUCUCUUCUGCUAUAACUGUUAUAUUUGUGCUGUUACCGCUUACCAAUAAGACAUUGAGUGAGAAAAUAAUUAGCUUGCAGGGUUGGAUCGCUGUCCAAAAUCAGGUUUAACAGCCUGAUCCAUACGACUGUGAACCUACGCCCUUUACAAGGUUGGCAGAUUCCUAUCUGAAACUACAAUUUUCGCACUAAUUACUUUAAAGAAUACGCAACUAAAUGUAAACCAAAGUUUUGUGUUCCUCCUUCAUAUCAUAUCAUAUUAGCUGUUACCUUUAGCUUUUGAACUCCAUUUUUCAUACCUCCCAUCAUUUUAUCCUAGGUGGCUAAAUUUGUGCAGUGGUUGCAAAUUAGAUUUGCCAUAAUGGUUGGAAAUAUAUUUCUCAUCCAGCCUAAGUAUGGCACAUGCAUUGAUUUUUAGUAGUGAGCAAUGAGUAGUACUGUUUUCAAUAUCAGGAUCAUUUGAUGCUUUUUAACUAAAAAAAGCGGCAAUCAUCUGUGGUACAAUGUCUAAAUGCAUUCAUUUGUAAGCCAAGUGGAGUUUCUGCUAAUUUGACAGGAGUACCAUGAACCCCAAGUUUAGAAAAUGAGUUGUGUCUACUUUGUUGAACAAAAGCAAUGAGAUUAUUUUUGCUGGGACAGCCUCAGGAAUCCUCGCCUGCAUCUUGGUGGCCCGCAUCUUGGGGACCUGUUCCUUGGUGCCAGUGAGGUCAGUCAAUAAGUCUAUGGUUUUGAUCUGUACUUGCAUUGUUGAGAUUAUGCUCUUGAUGUAUCAAAAUGUGUUUUUCCUCUUAACAAAAAAUGUGUAAGCAAUAAUCGCCUCGUGUCUAAUCAUCCAUAGUUUGUGUGAGUUCAAAAGGAAAUAUGUUGUAGUUUAGUUUAGAGCAACAAUUUAGUUGGCAAGUGACAAUGCAACUUGCAGUAUUCUCUAACUCACUGAACUCAUUUCAGUGGAGUUUUUACUUCACUGAUGAUCCCUGAUUUUUUUGUAAUAAAAAUGUUAUCACUGCAUAUUUUCUGCCUCUUUUAUAACUGUAAAUUGGUUCUAUCGUCUAACCAACAAGACUUAUGUCAGUAUAGAACUUCGAUAUUCAGAGUUCGCCUAUUUUGAAUUGUUGCUACCAAGUGAUUGAUUUGCUGUAAUUUUAUGGUUCGCACCUGCCAGGUUUAGGUGCCAGUUUUACUUCACAUGUUAGUCUUUGGGUUUCUGUAGUUACUUUGCAUUAAGACUUCAUCGCAUAAGAAAUAUACUUGCAUAGCUAUCUUUCAUAUUCUUCAACUAAUGGUUACCGUAUUAUACAAGUGGUUGAAUUGUGGGUACACUCAAUGGAAAAUAGUGCCUCUCAUACACCAUUGGGUGACAAGACUAACACUACUAAUAGAGGUAACCAAAAUAGAAGAGGAAUUAUUAUAUAUUAUUCAGUGUAUUGUUUAUAUUAUAUAAAUGAUAAUCAAUAAUAUAUGGAUGUAACAAUGCAGGAAGCGAUGUUGCACAACACAGGAAAGAAAGGGAUAAGGCUCGAUGGCACGCAAUGUCGCAAGAGAAAAAAGACGAAAAAAAUAAAAAACGUCGUGAAGCAUAUAAAAGAAGAAAGGAGCAACAACUAUGGAUCGAAACUACCGAUGGUUGUAUAUUAUAAAUGUUGGUGAAUAAUAAUAUAAGAUACUAUUGUUGUUUCUCAUAUUCGUUGUAUCAUAAUUGAUAGAUGCUCAGGAUUCAUCAAACAAGGAAAAUGUGGAUCCUAAUAAAACAGAUGAUUGGUUGCAUAGGAAUGAUUCACUCCAUGCAAACAAUAUUGAUGAAAUACUUAUAUCCAAUCCGAUGUCAGGUAAUAAAAUUAUUGUUAGUAUGGAAUCAACACCUACAUUAUUGUGUUGUGUAGCUUUAUAUACAACGAGAGGAUCAUUGAUGGAUAUUUGGUGUGUAUUGUUUGCCUUCCUACUAUCUUAAUUCAAACACGACUAUGUAGGUGAUGCUGGUGAUGUAGUUACUGCUCGCAGCAUAAUUAAUCAGGCAAUGCGAUCACAAUGCAGUGAUGCUUCACGUAAGAGAGAGUUAACAAAUGAGCAAGUCAUGGCUCAUCGUGCAAAAUGUAGGAUGCAACAUGCAAACAAGACACCUGAGCAACGGGAACAAAGGCGCAAGCGACAGAGGCUUUAUAAUCAAGUUCCAUCUCGUAAAGAGGCAAUGAAAGUGGCUAAAAAACGCUCCAGGGAGGUGCGGACACACACUUUAAACAAUGAGUCCAUCGCAAUGGAAAAUCCACUCUUUAAUCCAAUUAUGGAGUGGCCCACUGCAAACUCAUCUAUGCCAGCUCAUGGACCCACAGUAAGCCCUAGCGAUUGGGCUAUCCCAGAAUCCGCUACAACACCUAUUUGCUUCCCACAAGCUCCUGAUGAGACAAAUGAAGAUGAUGAUGGACGCAGUGAUAUAUCGCCUGGUCAUAUGACACAUAGAUAAAAUAUACCAUGUGGGCAAAGGCAUGCAUUGUUAACCCGCCGUAACAAUGUGUUUGAGCGCCUCAUCGGUCAGAACACGGGAAAAUCUAAUAAUGAGGGUGAAGACAACGUGGAAGAAAAUACGCCAUUACCUCAGUCAACCGUGACCAACAACGGUAAAUAAUGAGGCCUUCGUAUCCAUGUUCAUUCACAUGAAACAAACUUUAUUCCUACCUUAACUAUGUCCGUUAUGUGAUUGACAGGAAGCGCUAGAUCAAACAAUCAAAAUGCAUCAGCUACACCUGGACAACCAUUAUUUGAUGAUACAAGUAAUUUGCACUACUUUGAACAUUGUGUACAAUAUUUGUGUUCCUUUAAUGUUAUCUGAGUUGUAAUAUCUCAUGACAUUGUGAUAAUCUCAGAUGAUGAUGAGGGUGAUAUAUUUGAAGAUGAUGAGUAAGAGGAUGAGGGAUGCUUGUUUGCUGGGCAAGGUAUUUGUACCAAAUACCUAUUACCUUUUUAAUUAUCCGCUCUUUUAUCUAACCUUGAUUUUUUUUGUUCAAAUCAUUUCAACAGAAGAAUCAGAUGAUGAUGUCCAAAGUGAUACUACUGAGGAAGACACGACUUCUAACUUUGAAGGACCUGACCCGUAUGAAGUGGUGUAUAGUAACAUGCCUAGGGAGACACACAUGCUAAAACCUGUACCAGAUUGCAAACAUUGUGGAGCAAAGAGAUUUCCAAAAGAACCUCCUAGGUUUUGUUGUAGCAGCGGAAAGGUUGAGCUGCAUGCGCCUGUCGUACCAAACCAGCUCAUGAGGCUUUGGACAAGCUCUGACGCGGAUGCUAGGCACUUUUGUAACAAUAUCAGGUUUUUCAAUGGUCACUUCUCUUUCACUUCCCUAUAUUGUCGCCUCGACAGUGCUACUGCUAACAUUAGAAAUAGUGGCAUAUAUACUUUUCGUGCACAUGGCAUGAUCUAUCACAACAUAAGGUCAUUUGGCAGAGAAGAUGGUAAGGAGCCUAGGCAUCUUGAGCUUUACUUCUAUGAUGAUGAUCCGAGCCUUGAGUACCGGUACCGAAGGUGUCGUGAAGAGCAGUAUCAAAAAGAUAAAGAGGUUAUAAACAGACUCGUGGCCAUCCUUCGUGACAACCCAUAUUCACAACAUUUGAGGAGUCUGGGGAACACUGAACACCUCGAGGACUAUCGUCUUACACUUAACCUUGAUCAGCGAUUGGACCAAAGGACAUACAAUGUCCCGAUGGCUUCGGAGGUGGCUGCUGUUUGGAUCGAGGGUAGUGAACUCCUUGGUCAAUUUCAGAAUAGUGUUGUCCUGCAUGGGAAAGAUAGGAGCAGGCAUGGCAUCCGAUCGUACCAUGGAUGCUAUGAUGCUCUCUCAUACCCACUCUUUUUCCCUAGAGGUGAGCUUGGAUGGCACAUGGAUAUCCCAAAAAAAGGUGUUACUAUAGAGGAUGUCAACACGGCUCAUGCCCUGCGUAAGGCUCGUACUGGUAUUGAAGAAGAAGAAGAAACAGGUUUGUAUAUCUUCUUGUACUUUUCAUGCAAAUCAAAUCAUUAUCACAUGAACACCUCUAAUACCAUAAUUUUUUCAGACUCCCUAGGAAAUUUAUGUGUUUCGGUGCAUGACUACUACUGCUACAAGUUCUAGAUACGGCCAGGAAUAUUUAAUCCCAUACUUUAUGGCAAGCGUCUUUUCCAACAAUUUGCAGUGGACACGUACAUCAAAAUCGAGAGUUCUCGAUUGGAUUACAUACGCAAUCAUCAAACUGAGAUUAGAGCAGAUCUCUACCAAGGAUUGGUUGAUACCCUACAUGCUGGUGAGGGUAGAUCAGAAGCUGUUGGAAAGCAAACAGUGAUGCCUUCAUCGUUUAUCGGAGGCCCGAGGGACAUGAGGUGUAGAUACAUGGAUGCCAUGGCACUGGUGCGAAGAUUUGGAAAACCAGAUAUAUUCCUGACUAUGACAUGUAAUCCAAAGUGGAAUGAGAUCACACGUGAGUUGUACCCUGGACAAACACCACAGGAUUGUCCGGACAUUAUUGAUCGAGUUUUUAGGGCAAAACUAGAAGAGCUUAAGCACAUGUUGUUAAAAAAGGAUAUCCUUGGAAAGGUUCGUGCACACAUGUAUGUUGUGGAGUUCCAGAAGAGGGGUCUUCCGUAUGCACAUUUUUUGCUAAUCAUGGACAGACGCUACAAGAUCACGUGCCCAGAGAAGUAUGACCUUCUCAUCUCUGCCGAACUCCCAAACAAGAAGAAGUAUCCAGAUUUGUAUAAAAUGGUUACAAAGCAUAUGAUGCAUGCACCUUGUGGAAUACUUAAUCGCAAUUGUCCGUGCACAAAAGGCCGUGAAUCAUGCAAGAACCAUUACCCACGACCUUUCUGUGAUGCCACAUUACAGGGCAAGGAUUCAUACCCAUUUUAUAGAUGACGAGACAAUGGCUGAAAAGAAAAAGUUCGCGGAUACGAGCUUGACAAUAGAUGGGUUGUGCCUUAUAACCCAUACCUCCUACGUUUGUUCAAUUGCCGCAUCAAUGUUGAGGCGUGUGGGAGCAUCAAGGCUGUGAAGUAUUUAUUUAAGUACAUUUACGAGGGUCAUGACCACACGUUUGUGGCUGUAAGAGAGGCUGACAAGGAGGACAAUGAAGGAAAUAUCGAUGAGAUCAAACAGUACAGGGAUGCUAGAUGGAUAACUCCACCAGAAGCCUUGUGGAGGAUAUGUGGUUUUGAUAUAAGUGAUAGGUCCCCUUCGGUGUUGUCCUUGCAGCUCCAUCUUCCUAACAUGCACAUGGUGUCAUUUUAUCAGCGUGAGGGUGUUCGAGAUGUGCUUAAUCGUCCAGGUGUUGAAAGGUCGAUGCUCACAGCCUACUUUGAGAAGAACAACACAUCUGAGCAUGCUCGAGGUAUAUUGUAUUGAGACUUUCCUUAAUACUAUAAGUGGGACUCACAGGGAAAACAAUGGAUUAGGAGGGCACAAAAGAAUCAUUUAAGACAGAUUGGAAGAGUUGUAUGUGCUAAUCCGGCUGAAGGGGAGCGUUAUUAUCUUAGGGUGCUUCUAAACCACGUGGCUGGUGCUACCUCAUUCACUGAUCUAAGGAUAGUGUCUGGUGAACUACUACCGACUUUCCGUGAAGCUGCAGAAAGAAGGGGCCUCAUUGAAGCGGACAACACGCUGCAUGAGGGCCUUGCUGAAGCUACUCUGUGGAUGAUGCCAUGUGCACUACGAAGGCUCUUUGCAACAAUCUUGGUUUUCUAUGAGCCAAGUGAUGUAUUAGAACUCUGGGAAAAGCAUAAGGAGGCAAUGUCAGAGGACUAGAGGCGCAAUAACCAAUCCAGCUUUGCAGUGGAGCAGAUGGUCCUCAUAGAUAUUCGGAAGUUGUUACAAUCAAUGCAGAAGGACAUAAAGAUGUACCCACUUCCUGAUAUCGAUGACACAUAUGAUCCAUCUGGCGAUAUUCCUAGGGAGAUUUUUGAGGAGGCCAGCGUUGAGGCAAGCAUUGAUAACAUGGCACUAUCAAAGACCCUUAACGAGGAGCAGCAGGCAGCCUAUAAUGAGCUUAUGUUUGCUAUUGAUAGCGAUGAUGGGGGUUUGUUCUUUGUGGAUGCACCUGGUGGCACCGGAAAGACUUAUCUAUAUAGGGCUCUGCUUGCUACUAUACGUAGUCAGAACAAGAUUGCCGUGGCAACAGCAACAUCUAGUGUUGCUACAUCAAUAAUGCCCGGUGGCAGAACCGCCCACUCAUGCUUCGAGAUUCCCCUCACCCUUGAUGAUGGGGCAUUUUGCACCUUCACAAAACAGAGUGGUACUGCUAAGCUGCUUCGGACUGCAUCCCUUAUUAUUUGGGAUGAAGUGACGAUGAUGAAGCGGCAAGGUGUCGAGGAGCUAGACAACAGUCUUCGUGAUAUCAUGGACCGUCCUAACCUGCCAUUUAGGGGGAAGACUAUGGUGUUUGGUGGAUAUUUCAGGCAAGUUCUUCCAGUUGUUCGAAGAGGGUCUAGGACUCAAAUAGUUGGUGCAUCACUACGGAUGUCAUACCUUUGGAAUUCCAUGCGACAUCUCAAAUUGGUGCGAAACAUGAGGGCAAAGAACGAUCCAUGGUUUGCAGAAUACUUGCUACGCAUUGGGGGGCUCUGAGGAGGCUAAUGGUGAUGGUGAAAUUCGUCUUCCUGAUGAAAUAUGCAUACCACAGACUGGGAAAGACAGUGAUCUUGAUACGUUAAUUGACUGCAUAUUUCCUGCCCUCAAUGUCAAUAUGUCAAACAAUAGCUAUAUCACCACACGAGCAAUAUUAUCUGCACGGAACGACUCGGUUGAUAUGAUUAACAUGAAAAUGAUAAGUCGUUUCCAAGGGAAUGAGAUGGUGUACCAUAGCUUUGACAGUGCAGUGGAUGAUCCACAUAACUACUACCCAUCUGAAUUCCUUAACACUUUGACCCCCAAUGGUCUCCCUCCACAUGUGUUAAAGCUCAAGAUUGGAUGCCCGGUCAUAUUGCUAAGGAACAUCGACCCUGCGGGUGGACUUUGUAAUGGAACCAUGUUGGUGGUUCGAGGGUUCCAAGGAAAUAUUAUCGAUGCAGAAAUUAUGGUUGGAGAUCAUGUCGGAAAGCGAAUCUUCCUUCCACGAAUCCCAUUAUGGCCCUCGGAUGACGAGAUUUUCCCGUUUCAGUUCAAGAGGAAGCAGUUUCCUAUUAGACUCAGUUUUUCCAUGACGAUUAACAAAGCACAGGGGCAGACUCUUCCCAAUGUUGGUGUGUAUUUGCCUGAACCAGUGUUCUCUCAUGGUCAGCUGUAUGUUGCACUAUCUAGAGCCACUGCCAGAUCAAAUAUUAGGAUCCUUGCAGUCCCGCCUAGAGAUAAGAGUGAUAAUGGUAAUAAAAAAAAUACAAGAAUAAAUGGUACAUACACAAAAAAUAUUGUCUAUAAAGAGGUCCUCACUCUAUAAAAAAGGUAGUCUUCUGUUUUGGUCUACUAUUAUAUUCUUACAUUAUGCCCUUAAUUAGUGACAUUUUUCGUGUCAUAUCAAACUGAAUAAUAUAAGAACUCCGAAUGAAUUUAUGCCCUUCUGCAUUGAUUCGUUCAUAUGUUAUUGACUGGAUGUACAAAAUGUUAUAUUAUUUCUAAUAUGUUUUUUCUUGGAUUAAUAUUUAAAUUUUUACGUUAAAAGGUAUUACUGACUAAGCGAAUGUUGUUGGUUGCUAUAUUGGAAGAGAAAUAGAGAGCAAUUCAAUGUCCACACCCUCCAUCUGAGGUCCCAGGUGACUAGGCCGCUGCCGACUGGUGCCCAGAUCUACAGUCCACUGAGUGCCGCACACUGCCUUUGGUUUGAAUAAUUUUAUUGGGUGAAAAAUAAUUAUUUAAAUCCGAUUUUAGGUUUGAUUUGGUUCUCGUUCUGUUUAUAAUAUUUACACUCAAGAGUUUAGUUCAAAAAAAUUAUAAGUUCUAUAAAUAUUUUAAACAGAAUUUCAAAAUUUUAUUACCUUCAAAAAGCAAUUGAUUUUGAUUUUCAAAUGAAUUUACAAAAGAAAAGGAAAAUAAAAGGGAAACCUCCCUCCCCUCUCUCUGGCCCAGUCCGGCCCAGUAAAAUCUUGGGUCAACUAUCAGUAGGGGGAGCACAACGCCUCCCUAUCCCUGAGUCACAGACAGUCGGAGCCCGCCUGUCAGCCUUUAUCCUCUUGCUGACAAGUUGACCCCACUUGUCAGGGUCAUCCCUUUCCUCUGUCCAUAUCCGUUCGUGGCCGGGUCUCACUGAGCCAACCGAAGGACCGGUUCUAAAGGGGACGAAGCUUGGCCGCCGCCGCUCCGUGAUCCUCUCUUGCCUCCCCGGUCUUGCGCGCACCGAGUCAGCCAUUUCUGCUCCCUCCUCUGUCAUUUAAAGCGAGCUCUCUUCCACCUGCAGCACCAUCGUCCACGUCCUCCUUCUCAGUGCCGAGCUAAAGACGAGAACACCGCCAUAAGUUCCGCGGUGAGCUCCUUCUCUUUCUGCACUAAGCUUUUACGCCCUCCGUGGUCUUUAGAACGAGCCGAACUUGCUCUGGCAAUGCUCAUCCCACAGGUUAUGACGCCAUUGUCGCGGUUUCUCCCUGCGGCGGAGAAGGAGGCGGCGGAGGGCAGUGUAGUCGGAGUCGGGGCGGGACGAGGAGGAGGUCUGUGGAUGAUGGUGCUGCAGCUGAGGAAGACAGGGUCCGUCGGCAUGGAAGGGGCGGUGGGGCACUCCGGGGAGGAGGAGGAGGAGGCCGCGGCCGAGUCGGCGGCAGCCAUCUCCACCGUCUCGCAGUCCGCAUGGCCGGUCGUUCGCGCGCGCCCCGGUGAGAAAUGAGGGACGAGGCCAGGCGGGGACUUGGAUGUCGGGGAAUCGGGCACUUCGGGCGGUCGUACGUGCGUGUGCUGGCAAGAAGUGGCUUGUUUCGUGUCCGUGACCUGUAGUGUCUGAACUUCGAUGUGGGCAAAUUCAGUUUUGAAUUGUUUUAGAUGCAAAUACAAUUUAUAUGUUUCAAAUAUGUUUUGAUACUAACUAAUUUAUUUAUAGUAUUACACAUUAUGGCUAUAUACGCUGCAUCUUUUGUAUCAUUGGAAGAUGCCUUGAGCUCUCCAAACAACACACAAGUUGACUUAAUAGCAGUCGUGGCUCAUGUCGGGUUGUGGGACUGCCAGACAUUAUUUCCUAACUCGUUUAGGGAGGUUGCACUCAAAGAUAAUAGGUAAAUGUUUAUUUGAAGAAAAAUAAUCUUUUUAAUGUCCUUGUGUUUUGUUUAAUCAUACUAAUAACUAUUACUAUUUUUUUAUGCAGCCGAAUUGGAUUUCUUCGUGUGUUCGCAUAUGAUGCUGAAGAAAACUACCACAUGUUUUUUUCAGCCGGUACUGAGAAUUAUUUUCUCAUUCCCACUAAUGUGGUUGUCGACUCAUAUGCACGUAAGUUUAUAUGAACAUAAUUAAAUUUUGGUAUUACCAACAACACAAAUAAUAAGCCUCAAUUCAUAUCAAUACAUCAUAGGUUGUCUGACAAUGACCGCUCAUAGUUCCAUGAUUUUUGUGGGUCCAAGGGAGUAUUGUCCUAUUUUUGCAUCUCUAGAAGGUAACUUUCUCAUCCUAAUUAUAAUAAUAUUAUAUAGAAUUAUAAACAUCCUGUUAGAGACAUCUAAUAUUUAUUUUGCAGCUAUCAGAGACGAAAUGCGAAAUAUCGCUUGUUACAAUGAUCAAAUUAAAAUUGCACUCAAUGCUCGAGCUAAUGAGAUCAAAAGGCUCGAAUACAAUGAAUGUACAGCUAUGGCAAACAAUCAAGGUGUCAUUAGUUACGUUAAUGGUUGCAACAUUUAAGAGGUAGAUGAAGAAGUAUUUGUGAUUAAAUAUUAGUCUUUUGUUGUAUCAAGAUUCUUCAAAGCAUCUUGUUUUACAAUAAAUGAAUGUACCUACACUCUACAAUUCAUCUCUUGUAACGUAACGAUUAAAUCUAUCAAGGCUCAUUACAAUCAAUGCUCAAUAGAUUAUUGAUCAUAAAUCUUGGUCAAAUUGCAAAAAGGUAUUGAUCGUAAAUGAUUAUUGCCCAAUAUUUUUGGUCAAAUUGCGAAGAAAGAGCAAAAUUUGAUAACAAUAGUUUAAUCGUAAAUGAUUAUUGCCCAAUAUUUUCAGAGACACAAUUGAUGUUUCUAUAAAUUAAGAAGAUAACAUAAUUCACAAAAAAAAAACAUGCAUGACCUGGUCAUGCCACAACAUAACUAGCGAGUCAGCCACGGUCUCUACCACCCGAAACUCACGAAAGCAUGACUGCCGUCAACACUGCCAGGCUUCAAUCGGUAGUUUCCAUAUCGAACCUCUAGCUCCCUCCGACUUACAAUUGCCCGAGACGGCGCACCUGGCUGCCGCCUCGACGCCUCUGUGACCCAGCACGCGGUUAUCCUCCAAUUCGGCGCGGAGAGCUCGGUGGCCCUCCCUUCGACGUCGCCUCAACUUGGCACGGGGCUUCAUCUGCACAAAGGCGGACGUCAACUUGCCAGGCCGUCCUGUUCCGUCACAUCGGCCGAAGUCUCCUUCUCCACCGCAGCAACCGUUGUUCGACACGCGCUCGUCGACGACGCUGGAUGCCACGACACCACAUGUAGGCUUGGCUGGACCACCUCCACCUCCAUCACGAUAGAUGCUGAGGUCUCCUUGCCACCGCUGCACACAGAUCUUCGUUGGUCGCUUCAUCAGAGUGUUGUCGGGGACCCAAGAGGUAUGCCCUUGUCAAAAAACGAAAGAGGUAUGCACUUGGCUAACUGAUGCUACAUAUGUGUUGGCGUGUUGGUCUUCUAUGUGGUACAUUUUAAAUUCAGGCUAAUAUAAACUAUGGAUCAUUAGACAUAGAGUUAAUUUGUUGCUUACACUUUUUUAUAUAUCAAGAUCAUGAACUCGACAAUGCAAGUACAAAUCAAACCAUACGCUCAUUGACUGACCUGAAUAUGGAAAAUUUAGAAUACAAGAUGACCAGGAGACACUGAGUCAGUGCAUUUUACCUAAACUUUUUAAGCUCAUUGACUGACUUGAACAUUGUUCAAACCAUAAGCCAAUUGACUGACCUGAACAUGGUUCACUAUAUUUUCUUCCUCACAUAUCUGAAUCAGUGCAUUUUACCUACACUUUUUAAGCUUGAACUUGCAUAUUGUUUAGAACUCUGAACCCCACUGCUUACAACUUUGAAACCCUAUACUCUUAAUUCAACCCUAAAAAAAUGAGAGAGACAUAGAGAGAGUGGAAAGCGAUGCUGGAGAUGGAGUAUCAACCAGUUCUUUUAAAAGACAUGAUACUGAAUCUACAAAGAUCGUGAUGCCAAUCAGUUUUUUGAAACAAUGUGGAGCAGCUAGCAUACUUCUUUUGCACAGCUAUCUUAACUGGUUCGAGUUAAAGUAUAUAUGUAUAUCUAUAGCGCCCAUGAGAAAAUUCCUUACAGGCUACAACGCUGAAAAAUCAAUGUGUAAAAUACAGUAGGGCUAAAGAAUAAGAACAUUUCCUCUUCAGCGUAAAUAGUGUCAUUUUAUCAGCAUUUCCUUCACCUUGAUGUUAUAUGCAUGCACCCAAAAAAGUGCAAAACCAAAGAGAUAGUAGUCUCAUACCUUGAGGUUGACCAUACAGAUAGUGUUAAAUGUAAAGUUACUCACCCUGUAUACGGCGCCAUGCAUAGCUAUGCUGUGCAGGGGGCUUCCAAGAACAACUUUUGCAUGUCCUCCUCCCAUUUCUCCUUCUACAUGGAUAUCAUGUAUGGCUCGGCUUGCAUGCCUAAACAGCAAGUGCCAAAAGUGUGAGCAAAGUGAGAGGUCCCCAACUUACCUGAAAAUGAGACAUGCCUAUUUCUGAGUAAGUAGAACCACCAAGCCUGACAGCAAUAAAUAGAGAAAGUAAUAAAUAUAGAACUUUAGAAAAGAAAAAGGCUACAAUAAUAUAUCAAACAAAUCAGCUCAUUUCUCUUGAAGUUUUGUAAGAUAUUCUAAUUAUUUCCCAAAGCAAAAUACAAAAUUAAACGCCUAAAUAAAUAACUCUCCACAUAUAGUUGGCCACUGCGAUGUUGCUGCUGCAAUGAACCAAUCUGAAGUUACAUAUUCCUAAUCAUCAUUACCUAACGGCUGAACUUUUGUAAUUAAUUUGUAGACCAAAGAUGCCAACAAGUCUUAGUUUGAAGAGAGUACGUGCUGAGUUUGUUCGGAGCUCUGAGAUGCCCAGGUAAAUUUCAAAUCUCAUAUUCUAAAAAUGUUAUAAUAGCUAUGAACAUUUGUUAGUAUAUGCCCAGUUAAAUUCACAUGUGUUCUCUGUCAUUUUUCUUACAGAUUUAAGAGAUUCCAAGACAUUCAACUUGUUGACAUUGGUUACUCUUGGAGUAUUACCGUUAGAAUUGAAGCAAAGUUCCCUUUUAAUCAAGACUUUCAGCGCUUCAUCCUCAUGGAUACUAUGGCGAGAUUCAAAAAUAAUAGAAGUAAAAUAGUUUCAUUCACAAACUAACACAGAUGGUAAUAAUGUUAUAUAUAAUUGUAGGGUUGCAAAUUAGUGGCGGUCGUGAGUGGCCCCGAUACCGAGAGGUUCAACAGGUUACUACAACAAGGACGUGACUACACAAUUCGUGAUGUCAGAUUCCAAGUUAAGCCGCACACUGAGUUUCGCAAUAUUCAAAGCAAUUACGAUUGUAGGUUGGACCGUUUGACUACAGUGGAGCGUUGGAACAUGCCUAUACAGUUUCCCAUGUGCUCGAAUCAGUUAACGUCCAUCCUUGAAGUCAUGCAUUGCCCAAGCAAGACCUAUAUAGGCAUUUUUAAAGUCUCCACUCUCUUACUUUACCUUUGUACUAAUACAUGUACUAUUUAUAUAGACAUUGCGGGAAUUCUUGUGCACUGGGGGAAAGUUGAGAGACCGCGUUCAGGGCUGUGUAGAGAGGUUGUCCUCAUGGAUUCAAGGUAAGAUUUAUAGCUUGUAACUAUUUUUUUCUAAUAUACAAUCAGUUUUUUGAAUGCCUCCUAUAUUCUAACACAUAAAUAUAUGUAAUUAUAGAGGUGAUUUGAUAGUUGUGAUCAUGUCAUGCAAAGUCUUGGCUGCACAUAAAAUAAAGCUGCAAAAUGCCACUAGUACAACACCGCUUUCUAGUGGCGGUUCUAGAGGGGUUUGUACAAGCGGCAGACAGUACCGCCAGUAGCUUUCGCCAGUACAAAACAAAAAUUAUACAAGCGGUUUAUCAAGAACCGACUGUGUUAACAAUUUACACUAUCGGCUUCAUUUGUACCACCGUCGCUUGUGUAAACAAUUUACACUAUCGCAUUUAUUAUAUGAUCCGCUUCUGAAAUGUCUUUACACAGUCGGUUUGAUAACAAAAUGCGCUGGUUGAAGGUCAUUUACACUGACGGUUUGUAUAGCAAGCCGUCUGUACUAUAUAGCCAGAUAUAGUGUUCUUUUUUGUUUAUGAUCUACCUAAUUGUUUGGCGAAAUAAUUCUCUGUGCACAUGCUUUUCCUGGAUCUUGAUAACUAUGCAGAAAUACAUACAUAUUGAAAAUUUAUUCUUUUUGUUUGAAAAGCCCAUGCACAACUGAAUAUAUGUCUAUUUUGGUAAUGAACUAGAAGAUCAAGAUCUUAAAACACUUUUUAUUAGUUUUAGUUAUGUGUUUUGGUAUUGAUUAUUUGUGAGGCUAUGAGAAUUUAUAUAUGUUUUACCCAUAACAACGCAUAGGCACUCAAGUAUACACUAAAACAGAAGACUACCAAAAGAAUAAGAGAAUAACUUGUGUAAGAAUCACUAACCUUAGGUGGCAUUUCAGGCCGUUGCUGCUAUUCUGGGCCGCCGGCUGAUGCAACCUAGCUUUGAUUCUGGCCCAUCGGUCUGCCAGCGAAAAUCAAUUAAUCAAGCCAAUUGUAUUUUUGUUAUAAAAACUAAAAGGGAAAGACUGUAGUGGGAACGAAAUGUGCAUACUUUUAUAUCUGAUGAAAAAUUUGUUACUGUUUUCUGGGAACCUCCUUUCUUGAGUUGAAAGUUCAUCCACAUUUGCCAACAGUGGUAACUGAUAUUAUUGUGACAAAAUGUUAGCACAACCAGUUUCUUUACAUGAAACAAACACAACACUGAAGACAAACAUUAUCAAGGAAACAGUACGAAAAGACAAGAGCUUGCCUUGAUUAUUUGAGAAAUUAAACCCAUGACCAGAUGAGGCUGCAAGCAAAUAGAAAUAAAUUUCAGUAAGAUUACUAAGAGACUUGUAUGAAUUCUUUAAAAUAUAAAAAAGAUCAGCAAGCAAUACAGUGGCUGCUAGAAACAGCACCCAAAUCUGAUCAUGGAGGAUGUAAAAUGAAGUAAAUCAAACAAGACAGAUCAUAACUUCAAUGAAAAUUAUGAUACCUGAAAGGCUUGGAUGUUACUAAAACCUGCGGUAGAAUCUAAAGGUCAUUUAAGUUACCCUAAACAUUCACUAUCAAACCGAUAAUCAAGUGGGAUCAAUUGAGAUUGAUUGAUUCUUUCAUGGUACCAUGGACGCAAAUUUCAAGUAUCUUGAAUUUGCACAACAACCAUCAAGCUAACCAUAUGUUACCACUCCAACUUUACAUGAUUGUCCCGUGGUGGUCAAGUGGCAACCACCAGCGUGCUGAAGUACGGACAUGAAACUAAAAAACCUAUAUAGACAAUUUACGUAUAAUUUCGGGCCGUGGCUGCUAUUCUGGGCCGUCGGCUGAUGCAACCUAGCUUUGAUUGUGGCCCAUCGGUCUACCAGCGAAAAUCAAUCCUGUUUAGAGGUUACGAUCAGUUAGCAUAAAAGGGAACUCUGGUAACAUUUGCCUAAUCAAUCUGCUAAAUCCUCGGAUCAAGUCCUCAUCCACGCGAGGUCAUUGCGCCUUCCAAGCAGAAGUACUGAAGGACUACUACGUCUACGUCUUCGAGGUGCCGCCGCCAUCAAAUCAUCAACACACGUCCGGCCGUCAUAAAAACAGUAUGUUUCCUAUCCCAAUUGGCGUUACGUAGGCGGGGGAAAGGGGGGAAUAGCGUCACGCAGAUGGGUGGACGGGGAAUGGGAGCCGCGUGAACGUACCUUGCCAAUCUUCUCGAAGUAGUCGGUGAGACACAGGUUCCAUUCGUUGAUGGUGUUGUCGGUGAUGGCGGAGAGCCAGGCGGGCCAUCCGGCGUCGAGAUGCUCCCCGCGCGCUGUGUUGGCGAAUCCGGGGCCGGGGACGCUGCAUAACGAGCGGGAGCGACUCUACCGCCAGGCCGGCUGCUCUGCUGGUGCUGUCGGCUGCUCUGCCUUCCCGGUGGCCUCCUCCGCUGCUGCGGGGGCCGGCGGCUCGGGUACUGGACGCGGAGGGCUGGCCAUGGACGCAGCCAUGGGGAGAUCCUCACCGGUGAAGUCUCAUGGGGGAAGGGCGGCUGCGACUGCUGGUCGGUGCUGGGCGCGGAUGGGCGGCCGUGGACGUAGCCUAUUGGAAGAUCUUCACCGGCGCUGUCUCAUGGGUGAACUCGAGAGGGGGAGGAUCGCUCCGAGAACACGAGGAACUGGACAAGGGAUUGGAGUGGAGCGGAUGCGGCGACUGCGGCUGAUGGUCGGGUCGGGUCUGGAAGCAGAGGCACGGGCGGAGCUGCCAAGCUGGGCUUUUUGCCAAUCUGCCACUGUGCUUCUGCGGAGCUGGGAUCUCACACUUGUAUUUUAUUAUAUGUUAUAAUUAAUGUAUGAUCUACUCCCUCUUUAAAUCAUAAAUCAUAGGAAAUUUUAUUGUUUCUUCAAGCUGCCUGACAUACAAUUUAUGAAUUUUUAGAUGUUGUUAGUGACGAAACCAUGUAAUAAACAAGAGAAAAAGGUGUGCCCAUCCAGGUCGGUGUUGCAAUAUAAUAAACCAAAGAAAACGGACACGGUCAAAAGUCAACCUCAAGGUUCUUACUUUCAUUGACCCUUCCUAUUUUUCUUUCGCUAAUGAGACCUUCUAAUUCUUUAUUUUCCUGUGUUUUAUGCAGAUUAUGUUUGCAACGCCGAAGAUUAUAGUACUAUUGAAAAUAUUCUGUUGCAACCAAAAAAAAGUAUUGGUGGACAUCCAGGGAAUGACCAUAGAACGCCAUAGAACGAGAUAUUUUGGAAUGCCUCUUACAUGAUAAUAGAUUUUUGGAAGGAGAUGUAAGUAUAUGCAUGCAUGAUUUCAUGUUUCAAAAUGCUUUGCUUAUUCUGAUUCUGAUUUACUGCUUGCAAUACAUAUAUAUAUAUAUAUAUAUAUAUAUAUAUAUAUAUAUAUAUGCAUAGGUCUUAAGUGCCUACAUUGAGCUUAUGAGGUCCGAAAAACAUCUCCAAAACAGAGCUGGUGGAACGGUAUUCCUAGAGAAUACGUUCAAUACAAGUAUUCUACAGCGUGAUGGCAAGAUAAAUGAGGAAUACCUCGAUCCUAAGGUAGAUCACAUAGCAAAAAGGGUGUGCAACUAUUGGGAAUAUGACAUGGUAAAAUUGUGCAUCUCAAGCCCAUAAAUGUCGUUAUCAUUUAGGUGUAUUCCAUUAUAAUAUUUUAACUUUUGAUUUAGGUAUUUCUUCCGAUCAACAUCAAAGACUUUCACUGGUACCUUGCAGUGGUGGAUGGUAUAAAUGAAGAGAUACAUAUGCUCGAUUCAUUAGGUAAAACACAGGAGAAUCGUUAGGAACUUGUCUAUACGGUUAGUAAAAUAUUAACUUUAUUUAAAAGUUCUGCCUGAUUGUUAUUUUUUUAUUACUGACUAUGUGUUAUAUUAGAUAAUUGGCCUACAGAGACACAUAGAUAUUGUAGCAAAACAUAAAGAUAUACAAACAAAAUGGAAGAACCUUCAAGUUCAAGAUUGGAAAUUCAAUGAGGAAUUCACAAGUGCCAUGCAAACAGAUGGGUAUAAUACUCCAUCAUAUGUAUCAUACAAAUACAAUUAUUUAAAAUUCAACUAAUAUACUAUAGAUAUAACUGUUAGUGUUACGUUUUCAUGUUUCAAAAUUGGUAGGUCAUCAUGUGGCUUAUUCAUGCUUAACUACAUGGAAUAUUGGAGAGGAAAAGGAAAAGGUCUAUCAGACAGUGUAACUCAGGUAUAUAGGAAUAAUAAUGUUUUAUUUGUUGAUUUAUUAUAUUUUUUUUAGUAACAUGUCAUCAAAAAAUAAUAUGCAUACAAGAUGAUACAUAGGGUGAUAUGAUUCAAACUACUUGCCAUUUUGUUGAACUGCCAACAAAAUGCCCGGGAAUGGUGGUUGACUUCCGAAACUGAUGAUAAGGAAGAAGAGAGUAUAGAUGAAAUUGAAAUUUUAGAUAGACCACUAAAAAAAAGCAGGGGUGAGAAGUCAUAUGCCUAUGAAGAAGAUUUAAUAUUGUCCAGGGUUUCAAAUUAUAUCAACUCCAUUAGUGAUGCAACUACUUUAGAGUAAGUCACCUCUAUUAUAUAUAUAUAUAUAUAUAUAUAUAUAUAUAUAUAUAUAUAUAUAUAUAUAUAUAUAUAUAUAUAUAAUAGUUGGUAUUUUCCUUUAAUUAUAUGCAUAAUUUUUUUGUAGGUCCUUUGCAAAGAAGUUAGCUGACAUGUUGCAAAAUGCUAACGCACAUGCCCUUACAUUUCGUGACUUGCCAAUGGGCGAACAAGAAUUAAGAGACCGUGUUUGCAAUUAUAUCAUGACAAUUAACGAAGAUAUGGCUUUAGAGUAAGUUUAUUUUCGUGAUAAAUGACAAAUCAUAUACCACGUAUUGUUACAUGUAUACAAAUAUUCAUAUUUUACAGGCAAAAAUGGGUUGUAAGUGCAAAGCCCUAUCCGAUUGUGUUGAGUCUCAAGAAAACCCAAAGGAUGUUAAACAAGAACGAGGGAAUUCAUGAUGAUUGUUUUAACCUGGUAGCACGGAAGUUUGCUUUUGAAGAACUUGAAAAGUUGAAGGGAACAAACAAGAUUGUGUCAAAGCAUUACAUGGAUUUAAAGUUUUCGGUAGGUUUUACUUUAUAUAAUGGCAUGAUAUAUAAUCACUAUUUCUUUUGUUGUAUAUUUCUAGACUUUCAUUCAUUAUAUUACUAUAUAGCUUGCAUGUCAACUAAGUAAUGGUGACGAGUAUCGAACAAAAGUUGAUUAUAACCAACUGGCAAAAUUUGCUCUUGAAUGUCCUUGGAGAAAAUAUAAUGUUAAAGAGUGCACAUGGGUAACGUUGUUUCUCUUAUUAUGUUCCUUGCAUCUUUUGUGUAAAUAAAUACCAUGUUAUUCUUAAAUAUCAUAUUACUGAGAUGCUCCUUUUCAAUUACAGAUUCUAAUACCACUUCAAAUGGUUACAGCAUGAGGUAUUUAUAAUCUUUUUUGUUCAAGACAUGUCUAGAAGAGCUCUCUACAUAGUAGACCAAACUCCUAAACCUGAUCUUUACAAGAUUCAACCACUAAAAAAUAUACAAACAAAAUUCAAAGGGUUUCCACUGCCCUAAAUGAAGUCAUGAAAGUUUCAUGCCCUUGGUGGCGAGAUGAUUUAAUCCUCUUUGACCAUAGAGUUGCAGAAGUCAACCAAUUUGAGUUAAAUGGGUAAAUACUUUUACAAUAGAAACUAUUUGUUUUUAUAUUCUACUAUAUAUAUAAUAGUAAUAAUUUAAUGCUUCCUCAGGGACUUGUCUGGUUAUAAUGUUCUACUUGCUAUGCAUGCGUGGAAUGGUAAAAGGAUAGAAACAUCCAUUUGCAAUAAUGUGAGUAUUGACCUUUGUAGAUUAUUAUUGUUUUUUCACCUCAUAUAUUUGUUUAACUAAACCUAUAUAUGUGUAUAAAAAUCUUACAGGAUAAUUAUGAAGUGAGGAAGCAUAUAUUGCUACACCUACUCACAUAUACCGGGAACAAAAAUAUUGCCAACAUACCUAAAGGUGUUCGAGAUCACCUUGAACGCUAUAUUUGUCUCACAAGCAAAAAAAGAUGAAUUGUUUCUUAUUUUUCUACUUGUUUCUUUAUUUUAAAUAUAAGUAGAUUGAGAUGUGUGUUUUAAUAUUAAUUAUUAUUAUAUUAAUUGUGAUGAUAUGGAAAUUAACGUAUAAUUUGUUGUGUGAUGUGUUACCCGUAGCGACUUUACGUAUAAUUUGUUGUGUGAUGUGCUACCCGUAGCAACGCACGGGCACUCAACUAGUGAGUAUUAAGCAUCACAAUAAUAACCAUAUCCGGAUUAUCACAUAGCUAUCAUCAUUCUCAUCAUAACCAUUAAGUUUAUUUAGUGAAUUCUACGUUGCCGCUGCUCGAGUCAAGUUCUCACUAUCUGGGAGAGACGACAAUUCGAAUCGAUUCAUAUCCAGCUGGAGGGGUAUUCCUAGCACUCACCCAAGCAUACCUCGCGAGGGCAGCUUGGAUCACCUUUAGCACAACUCCGGACCAAGUCGCGGGUCCGUCCAGCGCCGCACCCCCAAGGACCACCAAUCUGCCAGGGCAGGACUCCAACCUGACACCUUGGGCUUACGUCAUUUACUUCCCGCACAUCCUUGCUACCAACCGGGGUGCGCACUCAUACAGAACCGGGUAUCCGGCCUGAGUUGCACUCGUAGGCUUCGCGGUUGGAACGACUUUUCCGGCCAACUAAGUGUUAGGCAUGCGUUCAACAUGACACGAGGACGUACAGCAAAUCGGUCCUUAACCGACACAGACGGGGAUAGAUUCACACCCAAGACCUCCAUGCCUUGUUGCUGCACUAUCGUCAUCCCGUCCGGUCUCAAUUCAUUAUUAGUCUUUGGUUAUUUCCACGAUAGCAAAUAUAACCAACCGUGAUCAAGUAUCCACCUAUCUCUCGCAGGUGACAGGAAAUCACCCGGCUUGUACCGAGCUAAGCAUGGCUAAGCAUCAUUUCGAUCCUGGACCUACUUAGGUAAGUUAUGAGGUGGACAAGGUAGUCAUUAUGCAGCAAGGGUGUCAUAUCAACGCCUAACACUUAAUGCAACAAUACAUAACCAUAGUUAUUUGACAGCUGGACAUGAUAACAAAAAAAUAGUAGGAGGCUUAUAAUGCUCCAGGGCUUGCCUUCGAUGUAGGUAGAGGGACGAUGGUCGGGACACUCCGGUAGAUCCUCCUCCUCAGCUCCUUAAGGUGGCUCCCCCUGCUGCUCCUUCGGCUCGGGUGGUGUGAACUCCAAGACCGUCACGCCCUUGGGUACACCUAAGUAUGCAUGACAAGGUGAUGAAUAAAGGGAAUGCACACAUGAUGCAUGAUGUUAUGAUGAUAAGCCAAAAGAACAUGAAACAAGAUGCAACAUGAUCAAAAGUUCCUAAGAGUAAUUGAAUCCUGACUAAGUAAGUAAGUGCAUACUUCUUCUCUGGUAGAGAGGCUAACUAGACAAGCUACUCAACCGUAGCUACUCACACUAAGUAACUGGUGUCAUGGACAGAUUAGCUUGUCAUAAGAUUCAGCUAUAACCUAGGCAUCAUUUGGCCAAACUAAGCAAGUGGGCACUUUCUGGAAAGCUUAACAAAUUUUCUACAAUUAGCUUUCAGACAUCCAAGAAGGAUUCCCAGCCGAAAUAGGUUGAAACAGACAAAGUUGGCUGGCUGCUUUGGAAAAUCCAGAGAGCAAGCACUUUGCAGCAACUUCAUGCAAUAGUCAUAACUAGUCAUAACUUUUAAACUACUCAGCCAAAUGUCAUGGAAUUUGGACACAAGGUAGAUAAGUAAGUUAGCUACAAGUUUGUUGUAGAUAAGUUUUCCAGAAAACCUCACCUUCAAGCAGUUCUUAAACAAUUGCUAUCAGCUAUACAGAAUAUGCUCUAGGAAAGACAUAAGUAGCAAAAUAAUAUUUUGACACAUACUAAGAAUGUAACAUUGGUUGAAACCAAAUGCACCAGUAGAUAGAACAUGUAUAAGAAACACCAGAAAACAUCAUGGCAAGGUUUAAACUCAUUUCUAUUAUCCCCUUUUCUAUUUAUUUGAUUAUUAGGAUGAUUUAAUGAGCAUGUAACACAAGUGCUCCAAAAAUUCUAAUACAAUUACAGCAAGCCAACUAGACCACCACCAGUUCACUGUAAAAUUUUCAGGGCUCUUGCACAUGCAGAUUGUGAGAUACAAAAAUGACAAGCUAACAAUGGCAUUAAAGGCAUAAUUGUGAAACCCUAUCAAAAAGUGCCAAACAACAGAUUUCAUAUUUUUCUUAGUUUUUCUUAGACAUGAUUACAUCACUCAGCAAGUUUCAACAUAAAAGGAGUUAUAACUUAUUUACUAAAAAUAAUGAAACUUCUAUUUAAACAAGAAUUAUUUAAAACUCCACCAACAGUUAUCCAAAAAUCAUGAUAAAUUUACAAGAGCCUAUUCACACCUUAAGUAACACUCUCCUAAAUUUUCAUGGCCAUAAGACUCAUAGAUCUCAAGAUAUAAUUACCUCCUAUUAAACAAGAUUAAAUCAUAUCUAUCUAUUUAUGCAAAAACAUGGCAUGUUUUAUAUUUUUAAUAAAAACUAGACUAACACAAGAACCUAACAAAAUUGGAAUCACUCCAUUUGGAUCUGUAUAGCUCGAGUUAUGAAUUUUACAAAAACAACACAGGAUCUGCAAAAUAGUAGACACCACACACCAGGGAGAGAGAGACAGAGGCUGACAGGUGGGGUCUGCUGACAGACGGGACCCACGCGAUAGAGAGACAGAGACAGGGGAGAGCUCGUCACCGGUGAAACUCGACGACGGCGAGGUCUCGGUCGAAUCCAAGGGCACCAUCGUGACCCUCUCACCAAGGCGGACCUGCCGAGGUGCAAAACCCUAACUCUACCAAGCUCUAGAGGCUCGUCGGUGUGAAUGGCGGCUCGGCGGCGCUGCGGGCGGUACGCUGGCGUGCUCUGCCGAUGCCGUCCCAGUUGAGCUUCACGCCGAGCAUCAGUGAGUCAAGGGGAAGCUCUAGGAACAAAAAUGAGAAGGAAUGGUAGAGCAGGGAGGUUUGGCCAUGUCGCCGGUGAUCUCUGCGAACUCCAGUGAGGUGGAGCUCGCGACGGAGUGGACAAUGUGGCCUCACGAGUGCUCGGCUAAGGGAAAGAGAUGUACGUCGAGGUAGAGGACGUCGAGGCGGCGCUCUAGGCGGGCUGGCUUGGCCGGAGACACGGUGGAGCGGUCGGGAAAGCUCGCCGAAGCACGGCGGAGCUUGCCGAGAACGAAGGUGGAGGGAAUGGAGCGCUCUGAGCGAGUGGAGGUCGCGUCUGAGGCGUCCUUGCGGUGUGUGGCGACUUAUGGGCGACGCUGGAGCUGACAGGAGGGCCAUCGACGGCGUACGGCCGACAGGUGGCCGGACAUGUGGCGGCGGGUGAGCUCUGUCCCAACUGAAUCGGGCGAUUCAGUCGCCGUGGACAGUAACUGAAACUCGAUUUUCAUCAACGUUUUACUCUCAAUUCACUCGAUGGUUUUGGCUCGGAUUUGUUCCUUUAGAUAGAUCUACAUGAGUUCUCAAGAUUGCUUAAAGGAUCAAGGUCUAACUCGGCCUGGAUUUCAAGCUAUAGAGCUCCCAAGUACCCUAUAUCGAAACUGCCGAUUCCAGACUUUGCUAAAUUCGGCUAUGUGUGGAAACAGCCCUAAUUUCUGGCUUGUGAGCAAAUUUUGAAUGUGUUCCAUGCAUUUUCAUAAAAAAUCAUCAACACAACUUUUGUAGCUUAUGAAAUUUACUACAACUUUACUUUAGAUGUCAUUUACAUGCAAGGUCUCUAACACUGGUUUCAUAAAAGGUCUUUGAAAAGAGGUUUAGGGGGGUCAACUAGGCCAACCUAGGGCUAACCAUGACCUAGGGGCAUUUUUGGGCAAAACCUCCAACAUAAACUUUGUUCAAAAUGUUAUUCUAAACAUGAUUAACGUAUUUUGGAAGACAAUGUGCACUUAUAUGCAUUGGUCACACAUUACUAUCACCUAUAGCAAGUCACACAAGCAAUUCAAUCACAUAGUGUAUACACCAAAUGACAUGUGAUCAUGGUGUGAUGCUCAUGAGUGAUCAUGAUGAUGAUUAUGUUGAUGCAAUGCUCAUGGUUAACAUGCAAGCUAACACUAGGAGUGUUACAUCAUCGGCAGUAAUCUGGUGCUGAGGAUCCACCGAUGUGCUUUUUUCAGCUGCCUCUGAAGUCAAUACUUUGGUCUUUCCCUUAGCAUCCAACAUAUUUGUAGGGAAACGAUGUUGGUCGAUCUUCAUCGGCUUUUGAGCUUUGGAGUUAUCGAACCUAAUUCUCCCAAACUCUAUAGCCGACUGCAGCUGCUGCCUGAAAACUUUGCAUUCAUUUGUACUAUGAGAUGUUGCAUUAUGCCACUUGCAAUACUUAAUCUUCUUUAAUUCUUCUGCCGAUGGAAUCACAUGGUUAGGUGACAACUGAAUUUGCCCCUCCUGAAGCAAAAAGUCAAAUAUCCUAUCGGCUUUGGUGAUGUAAAAUGCAAACUUUUCUGGAUCUUUAUGCCCAAAAGGGCAAGACAUCGGCUUUUUAUUUUUUACCCAUUCUGCCAAGCUGAUGACUGGCUCUUCAUCAGAAUCUGAGCUCGUUGCCUCAUCGACAAAUGACACCUUUUUGUUCCAUGCCCUCUUGGGUUCAAAAGCUUUGAUAUCUUGGUCAGAAAUCCACUGCACUAAAUGGCUCAGACUUUCAAACUCUUGAGAAGCAUACUUGUCUUUAAUGUGUGGCAACAACCCUUGGAAAGCCAAAUUGGGGAGCUGCCGAUCAUCCAAAACCAGACUAUAACAUUUAUUCUUAACAUCUCGCAACCUUUGCACAAAGCUCUCAACCGAUUCGUCAUUGCUCUGCCUUAGCCUGACUAAAUCGGUAAUCUUCUUCUCAUGCACUCCAAAAAAGAAGUAUUUAUGGAACUAUUUUUCUAGAUUGGCCCAGGUGAUCACUGAGUUUGGAGGUAAUGAAAUAAACCAAGUAAAGGCCGAUCCAGACAAAGAUGAUGAGAAUAAGCGAACCCUUAACUCAUCUCUGUUAGCAGUUUCCCCAUACUGGAUGAUGAACCUAUUAACAUGCUCCAUGGUUGACGUAUCAUCCUGCCCCGAAAACUUGAUGAAAUCCGGCACCUUGUACCGAUUUGGAAGCGGAAUUAAGUCAUAUGCUGGAGGAUAUGGUGUCCGAUAAGAGUAAGUGUUGACUUUGGGUUUUAUCCCAAAUUGGUCUCUCAUCACCUCAGCUAUCUUAUCGGCCCAGUAAGCAUCAGCAUAUUGCCGAUGAGCUUGUUGUGGAUUCGGCAUCUGCUGAUAAGCUUCCACAUGUCUCUGCAGUGCACGAUCCCUACAGAACAUAGGAUUAGCCACCGCCUGUUGACCACCAACUUGGUGACCAAGAUUCAUCGGCUGGUUGAUCAACCCUUGAUUUUGAAAUCCAGGUUGCAUUGGUCCUUAUUGAAAUCCCAUAGCCUGAUGAUUUUGCUGAGGCAUCUAUGGAAAGACAAACUGCCCUGUCCAUCCAUUGUUAACAUUCAUCGGCGUAGGUCCUGCCGAUGGCUGAUAAUUGGGCACCAUCAUCGAAUUGACAUACCCUAGCUGUGUCAUAAACCUUUGCUGUGUCAGCAUUGGAUCUGCCGAUGCAUUAGGCAUCUAGAACGUUGGCAUUUGAGAAUUCCUAGCAAAAGGUCUUGUAGUAGUAGUUGUAGAAUACUUGGGAUUCUGAGUCAUCGGUGAGCCUGGGGGUGCCGAUGCCAUAGGAGCAUUGCCUGUCAUGUCAGCCACUUGAGAUGUCCCAGAACUUUUUGCCAUAAAUUCUGGGGGCAUACCAUAUCCCCACCAAUUGGGAGGAACAGAUACUGACAUUGCUGAUGCUAAUAAAUCUGUAGCAAGUUUGACUUGUCCCUCUGAUGUUGAUGGAUUAGUCGUCAUCGGUGUAGAUUGCGCAUUAGUCAUCCCUAAUGUGCUUGGAGGAGAAGUAACUUCCGUACCUGCAACGGCUGUAGUAGCCGAUGGAGCCGUAACCGAUGAUGAUCCUGGCUGAUGAUAGUCAGGGCCCACAUAAGAUGGUGGUAUCUGUCCUUCUUUGAAAGUUCUAGCCACAACAUUGAAAACUGUAUUGGACAGCACAUUAGAUUGAUUGAUUAGAGCACAAAUGAUAGCACUGUCAACCAUCUCUUGUUGUUUACUAGGAUUGGCUUCAAAAGUGAUUUGCCGAGGCAUCAACAAUGCUUCCUUUUGGAUCACCUCGCCACUCCUGUUGAUAUUGAAGGAUUUCAAGCAUAGCUGCUUGUAGUCCUCCAUAGCUUUUGCCAUAUCUUGCUUCUAUUCAUCUCUGAGAUUGGCUUCCGUCACGGGGAUGACGUUCUCCAAGUCGAAAUUAGUGUUCGACAUAAUGAUCUUGAUGUUGAAUCAUUGUCCCACUGGGCGUGCCAAAAGAUGUGUUCGUGCAAAAGUAGAUCUACAAACACAAAGGGCUAAUACCCGAUUCAACAUUAAGACGUGCCAGCCGAUUUGACCUUACAAUCGACAAAGGUGGUAACUCGAAUACUUUGGUCCCGACAACAGCGAUGCGCCCGGAUGUCACGGCCAAGAGGUAUUCACACGGAACUCGAGAAUUCACCGAGGUUAACUCGUUGUAAAAGGAAAAUAUGCAGGUUGAUGAAGUCGUCAAAAGUAGAUGCUGAAAUAGAUGUAAAAACUUGUGUUUGGUUGAUUGUGUCUAACAUUACAUCGCUACGGGGUCUCAUAUUUAUACCCUGCCCAAAAGGGUUACAAUCAGACACGACUAGGACUCGAAUUCCAAAUUGAACGGAAUCCGUACACAAAACAAACUCUAAUAACUGUGGAAAGCAUUAAGUUAUCUUCCACAACCGUUCGGUACACCACCUUGAAUCGAUCGACAAUUCCAGCGCCUUUCUUUGUGACCAUCGGCGAACCACCUUUCAUAGCCAUCGGCAACCAUCAGCACCAUUCAUCGGCAUGAAUCCCUCACCACUCCUAGACUUGGCCAUAUUCUGUCGUUUUCUCAUCGGCACCAACCCUCAUUGGCAACUCUCCUGUCAACUAGUCACCACUUUUCUGCCUGCCGAUCUACGCCUUAUUAACUCCAGAUACGCAUCCAAAGAUACGUGUCCAAAAACGGUGUCGACACUGCCAAGCUAGACCUGCUCAUGAAGAAGCUCGAUGAUAAAGCUAGAGAUAAGAAGGAAGUUAUGCACGUCUAUGACUCUCACAUGAUUUGUGAGGACUGUGGAGAUACUGGACACUCAGGCAAUCACUGCCCUGAGAUGCUUGAGGACGUGAACUACAUCAACAACAAUAACAACAACAACUACUACCACCGUCGUCAACAAAAUCAAGAUUGGAAUCAACAGAGGCCUAACUACUCAGGUAAUUAUCAAAGUAACAAUUCUUACAAUAAUAAUAAUAAUUUUCCACCUCUGAGAGAGUUAGUGUCUAAUCAAGGAAAGCUAAUGGAUAACCUAUCUAAGAAAUUGGCAUCUAAUGAUAAAAUUCUAGAAAAAAUAAAUAAUAGAAUGAAUAAUUUCUCUACUGCCAUCAAGAAUCAAAUUAGCUUUAAUAAAAUGAUUGAAUCUCAGUUAAAUCAAAUAGCUGCUGCUGUUCCAGCUACUAACCCCGGUAUACCAUCACAACCUUAAGGAUUAGAAUCUGCAAAUCUUGUAGACAUGUUUGAUACAGGUAACUACUGGAGUAACCCCGUCGCGGAAGUUACUACUGACCUUCUACCGGUCAAGAGAGGCGAUCUAGGACGCCCUGCCAUCCCGAUCUCCAUCGACAUGGUGGACUUCCCAGAAGCACUCUGCGACUUUGGCUCUAGUGUCAACAUUAUGCCAGGGUACUCUAUGAAAAAUUCUUUAUAUAUCCUUUAUUAGAAACAACCAUGUGUUUGCAGCUUGCCGAUCGGACAUUAAGUUUCCCAAAGGGAAUAUUGAAGAACCUUUGCGUCCGAGUUGGUACCUUGUACGCCCUAGCAGACUUCGCGGUGACAGAGACCGGUAAUGAUGAGAGGGCACCCGUCAUCUUAGGGAGGCCAUUCCUGAACACCUCGAGAGCUGUCAUCUACGCUAGUGCUGCCAUGAUCAGUUUUUACAUCAAGGGGAGGAAGGAGACGUUUUCCUUCAAGGACAAGACUACACAAAUCCCAGAGCAAUCCCGACAUGAACCAAGGAAGAGGACCAACAGGAGGAACAGGAACAAGCAAGUGUGGACCGAGUCAGCUAAGAUGGUCACUGCAGUUCAAGGAGGUCAAGAUCAUCGACUCAAGUCACCAUUCCUGACCAAGAAGGACGACCUAGGUAUGCCAAGCAUCCAGUGCUCCAUUAAUUGGUACAACUUCUACAAGAUGCUUUGCGACACCGGAUUGGGCGUCAACAUAAUAGCCGCAGUCACCUAUGAGCUCCUGUUUGGAACCAUAACCCUAAAACUGACAUACAUUCAGCUCCAGAUGACAGAUCAGACAUUUCGAAAGGUUGAAGGUAUAGUAACUGAUGUCCCUAUUAAAAUAGAUAAUCAUUUUGUCCAUACAGACUUUCAGGUUAUUGACAUUGGAGAAGGCGAGUAUGAUCCACCCAUCGUCCUUGGGAGACCUUUCCUCAGUACUGUUAAACCAAUCAUCUACAUUGGAACUAGAGCAUCUCAUUCUCCCCAAAAAGUUUCAAAAGAGCAAGAACGGUAUGUAUCCCCUCAAGUAGAAUUAGACUUUCACCAUUGUUGUCGCCAUCAUCACCAUACACCAUUCAUUUUGCCACACAUGCACAUCUUGAUUUGACUUAUUGACUUGUUUCUCUGGAUCCAUGGUUUGACUAUGCAAUAAAUGUCUUGUAAGUAUGUAUACUUUAUCUCCCACCUAUGAGCUCCAGAUAUCAAAAGCCUUAUUAAAGUAGGGUGAGAGAGAGAGAGCAAGGUCACUGUGCUUUAUACUACAAAUACCACAUACUUUGAGAGAGAAGGGAUAUACCAUCACUGCCUUGGUAAGGAUCCAGAAAUACCACAAAAGAGAGAUCUGAGAGAGUCAUACAAGGAAUCUCUGAGUUUUAUUUGAAAAUCUGCAAAAACUCCAGAGCUAUGGCUAAUCAAGAAUAAGAGACAUGGCGCUUGACUAGACCGUUCUAUCUUUUAACUGCUCAAGACAGAAAUGACGGUUACAAGUCCCAUGGUAAAAGGUAAAAUGAGUAAGUUUUAAAUCUUGACGGUUUACUCUAACUCAGAGAUGAGACCUUAUUUGAAAGCAUGUGUACCAUCAAAACUCAAAGGUAUUACGCAACUUCUGAUCCAUCACUGAGAUUAUCCUUGCUCAGGGACGAGCAAGAGGUAAGCUUGGGGGAGUUUGUUGACAUUCCUUAAAUAUCAAAUAUAAUCAACAAAUAAACAAAGAAAAGGAUCCAAAUGCAACCGGCACCUAGACUUAGGGUUUUAUCGGACAGAAUUCCAUGAGUUUUGGUGUUUGUCUAUUUCUGCAGGGGGUUAUCAGGAAUUAUGGAAGAAAGGCCCACACGUCGGGUUUACAUAGAGAUAUUAAUGUGCACCACAAUUAUCUAACAUCUAGAAGAGUCCAGAAGCCACGGGAACGAGCGGGAGGCCGAGCGAGCCCGGGGGCAGGGCGCCCGCCCUCCCCCCUUGGGCGCUCGCCCUGGCCUGAGAGCCAAUCAGGCUCCGCCUCGCGGAUCAUGCUCCACCGACCUAAGGGAUUAAGGAAAACCGUGCGAUUAAGGUCAGUUUGAUCUGACGGUCCAUAUUCAUUUGGAGGGACUAUAUAAGCAGACCCCCUGGCCCUUGGAGGAGAGGACCGGAGAAACCCUAAUUCAUUCGUACAUCUUUGGAGAAGAAGUCCCUGAUCAAGCACUAGAGCCACCACAUCAACUAGAUCUCUAGUUUUGCAUCUCUAGUUUAGCAUAGCUACAUAGGAUUAGAACUAGAAGGAAUCAAUCUUCGAUUGGUUUCCGGAUCUGUCAAGAGGACUCUUGGUAAUUCCUCAACUGUUCUUCAUUUGUUCAUCAUUGUUCUUCAAUAUUAUGAAUAUGACUUUAUUCUACUUCAAUAUAUUGAUUAUGACUUUGCUCUACUUGUUUAUAUUUGCAAUUAUAUUGUUCUUAAUUUAUCAUAGUUAUAUGCUUGUCGUAGUCAGAUUGGAAUUAUAUACAUGUUUAGGAUCAUAUAGCGUUUAUCCAUGUGUACAAUGGGUAAAUGAUAAGUAUUAUGUAGGCGUGGUGCCUAUGCCGUAUUUAUCUGCGAUUGUACCCUAUAUGCCGGAUCGCGGGGUAGUUCGUGGUGGUGACAGCUCCAUUGAUUCUUGUAUAGUCCCCCUCUCGUGUAUAGGGCAGGUAGAGCAACAUUAUUACAGGGGAGUGAUUGCUAUGUUUCUUAUCUUCCUUGAUAAUAUCACUAUGCAUGGGCGUAGUCCUGUCUCGCAAUGAUUGCCAAGUAUAAUUGCACUAACUAUGAUAUGCUAGACUUUAUAGUUAAGAAUAACUUAGGAAAUAUUCUUGUAGUUCAUCCUAAUUCCAUGCUAAUGACUUGCUAGAAUAUCUGUUGAGGUGCUUAUCAUUAUUAUAUGUGGCUAGUUAUGCUGAUCAGAUUAAUUAUGUUUGUCACCAGUCAUACUUUUUCUAUAUUUUAUGUGACAUUUAUCCCUGUAUGAAAGAGAUAGAUAAAUGCUCUCCAUUAUACAUGCAAUGAUGGAUACUCAAUUCCAUAUUUCAUUCCAUAAUCAACAUUGAAGAUUAGCAAUCCCUUCCCAGUGGUAAAAAUAUAAAUAACGAUACCUGGAAUACUUUCCGAUUAAAAUGCUACAUCGGUAUUAAUCUGUGCGCUUGCAGAUCUCAUUUAUUAUUCAUUCAGAAGAGCAAUUGCAUAUUUCAUUACCGCGUCUCUCAUGUCAUGCUGGGGAUGACAACUUGGCUUAAGUGGAAUGAGGGAUAGGUUUGGCAUUUUGGGCACCAUUAUCAGAACUAGAAAACUAAGUCUACUUUUGGUAAUGACGUUAAGAAUGCCCAAAAGAUGUGAACCUAACGGUAUACCUAAAGCUUUGAUUACCACUUGAUGAGAACAAGGGUGGCCCGAUCUUCCGAAAGGUUUUGAUAACUCUCGAUUUGGUGGAGACGAGACACAAUUCGAUCCGGCUUCCGAACAACACGAUCUGAAACCCUGCAAUUUUUUUUCGAUAUUUUUCUUUUAGUUACGAGCACCAAAGGAGUAACCACAGAAAAUUUGAGCUUAAACAAGUGAAACACAUGGCCUGCGGAAUUUUUUGAAGAUUGUGAAAAAUGUGAAAAAAACUUGACGAGGUGAAAACUCAAAAUUUGGAGGUGAAUUUGGAGGUUCUAUAAUUUUCAAACCCACCAAUGGAGGGGACAGACAUAUCUGAAAUUUUUUUUUGAUCAAUUUUGAUAUAUGGAACGUUGAAAUCGGAGUUCGUAUGCGAAAGUUAUGGCUAUUUUACGAACGGACUCCAAAUUAGAGGACAAAAUGGUCCGAAAGUAGGAAAAAUUCGCGGCAGUGGCUAGAAAUUGAUGGAAACGGUGGGAAAAAACACACAAACUGGACUCUAACAAGACCUAACCAGCAACAAGACCUCGACCAGGACACAAACUCAACACUGUGGACUGUCAAACUGAAAUAUACAAAGGCUAUGGCGCGGAAGGGUUGUAGGACAAUAAAACGAUAUGACACUAGACUUAUGGGACAAACACAAGAACACUCAAAAGUAAGGGUAGAUGUGAACCUAAUGGUAUACCUAAAGCUUUGAUUACCACAUGAUGAGAAUAAGGGUGAUCCGAUCUUCUGAAAGGUUCUGGUAACUCUCAAUUUGGUGGAGACGAGACACAAAUCGAUACGGCUUCCGAAUAACAUGAUCCGAAACGCUACAAAAUUUUUUUAUUUUUUUGAUAUUUUACUUUUAGUUAGGAGCACCAAAGGAGUAACCAUAGAAAAUUUGAGAAUAAACAAGUGAAAUACAUGGCCUGCGAAAUUUUCUGAAGAUUGUGAAAAAUGUGAAACAAACUUCAUGAGGUGAAAACUCAAACUUCGGAGGUGAAUUUGGAGGUUCUAAAAUUUUCAAACCCGCCAACGGAAGGGACAGACAGAUCCAAAAUUUUUUUCUGAUCGAUUUUGAUAUAUGGAAUGUUGAAAUCGGAGUUUGUAUGUGAAUGUUAUGGGUAUUUUACGAAUAGACUCCGAAUUAGAGGACAAAACGGUCUGAAAGUGGGAAAAAAUUGCGGCAGUGGCUAGAAUUUGAUGGAAACUGUGGGGAAAAACACAUGAACUGGACUCUAACAAGGCUUAACCAGCAACAAGACCUCGACGAGGACACAAACUCAACACUGCGGACUCUAAAACUAAAAUAUGCAAAGGCUAUGACGCGGAAGGGUUGUAGGACAAGAAAACAAUAUGACACAGGACUUAUGGGACGAACCAAGAACACUCGAAACUAAAGGUAGAUGUGAACCUAACGGUAUACCUAAAGCUUUGAUUUCCACAUAUGAGAACAAGGGUGACCCGAUCUUCUGAAGUUCUGGUAACUCUCGAUUUGGUGGAGACGAGACACAAAUCGAUCCGUCUUCCGAACAACACGAUCCGAAACCCUGCAAUUUUUUUUUGAUAUUUUUCUUUUAGUUAGAGCACCAAAGGAGUGACCACAGAAAAUUUGAGCUUAAACUAGUGAAAGACAUGGCCUACGAAAAUUUCUGAAAAUUAUGUAAAAUGUGAAAAAAAAACAUCACGAGGUGAAAACUCAAACUUCAGAGGUGAAUUUGGAGGUUCUAAAGUUUUCAAACUCGCCAAUGGAGGGGACAGAGAGAUCCGAAAUUUUUUUUCGAUCGAUUUUGAUAUAUUGAACGUUGAAAUCAGAGCUCGUAUGCGAAAGUUAUGGCUAUUUUACAAACGGACUCCAAAUUAGAGGACAAAAUGGUCCGAAAGUGGAAAAAAUUUGCGGCGGUGGCUAGAAAUUGAUGGAAACGGUGGGGGAAAAUACAUGAACUGGACUCUAAUAAGACCUAACCAGCAAUAAGACCUCGACGAGGACACAAACUCAACACUGCGGACUCUGAAACUGAAAUAUGCAAAGGCUAUGACGUGGAAGGGUUGUAGGACAAGAAAACGAUAUGACACUGCACUUAUGGGACGAACACAAGAACACUCAAAACUAAGGGUAGAUGUGAACCUAAUGGUAUACCUAAAGCUUUGAUUCCCACAUGAUGAGAACAACGGUGACCCGAUCUUCUAAAAGGUUCUGGUAACUCUCGAUUUGGUGGAGACGAGACACGAAUCGAUCCGGCUUCCGAACAACACGAUCCGAAACCCUGCAAUUUUUUUUAUUUUUUUGAUAUUUUUCUUUUAGUUAGAGCACCAAAGGAGUAACCACAGAAAAUUUGAGCUUAAACCAGUGAAAGACAUGGCCUACGAAAAUUUCUGAAAAUUGUGAAAAAUGUGAAAAAAACAUCACGAGGUGAAAACUCAAACUUCAGUUGUGAAUUUGGAGGUGCUAAAAUUUUCAAACCAGCCAAGGGAGGGGAGACAGAUCCGAAAUUUUUUUCUGAUCGAUUUUGAAAUAUGGAACAUUGAAAUCGGAGCUCGUAUGCGAAAGUUAUGGCUAUUUUACGAACGGACUCCAAAUUCGAGGACAAAACGGUGCGAAAGUGGGCAAAAUUUACGGUGGUGGCUAGAAAUUGAUGGAAACGGUGGGGGAAAAUAUAUGAACUGGACUCUAACAAGACCUAACCAGCAACAAGACCUCGACGAGGACACAAACUCAACACUGCGGACUCUAAAACUGAAAUAUGCAAAGGCUAUGGCGUGGAAGGGUUGUAGGACAGAAAAACGAUAUGACACUGGACUUAUGGGACGAACACAAGAACACUCGAAACUAAGGGUAGAUUUGAACCUAAUGGUAUAUCUAAAUCUUUGAUUUCCACAUGAUGAGAACAAGGGUGACCCAAUCUUCUGAAAGGUUCUGGUAACUCUCGAUUUGGUGGAGACGAGACACAAAUCGAUCCGGGUUCCGAACAACACGAUCCGAAACCCUACAAUUUUUUUUAUUUUUUUGAUAUUUUUCUUUUAGUUAGAGCACCAAUGGAGUAACCACAGAAAAUUUGAGCUUAAACCAGUGAAAAACAUGGCCUACGAAAAUUUCUGAAAAUUGUGAAAAAUGUGAAAAAAACAUCACGAGGUGAAAACUCAAACUUCGGAGGUGAAUUUGGAGGUUCUAACUUUUCAAACCUACCAAUGGAGUGACAAACAGAUCCAAAAUUUUUUUCUGAUCGAUUUUGAUAUAUGGAACGUUGUAAAUGGAGCUCGUAUGUGAAAGUUAUGGCUAUUUUACGAACGGACUCCAAGUUAGAGGACAAAACGGUCCGAAAGUGGGAAAAAUUUGCGGUGGUGGCUAGAAAUUGAUGGAAACGGUGGGGGAAAAUACAUGAACUGGACUCUAACAAGACCUAACCAGCAACAAGACCUCGACAAGGACACAAACUCAACACUGCGGACUCUGAAACUGAAAUAUGCAAAGGCUAUGGCGCGGAAGGGUUGUAGGACAGGAAAACCAUAUGACACUGGACUUAUGGGACGAACACAAGAACACUCGAAACUAAGGGUAGAUUUGAACCUAACGGUAUACCUAAAGCUUUGAUUACCACAUGAUGAGAACAAGGGUGACCCGAUCUUCUGAAAGGUUCUCGUAACUCUCGAUUUGGUGGAGACGAGACACAAUUUAAUCCGGCUUUCGAACAACACGAUCCAAAACCCUGCAAAUUUUUUUAUUUUUUUGAUAUUUUUCUUAUAGUUAGGAGCACCAAAGGAGUAACCACACAAUAUUUGAGCUUAAACCAGUGAAAUUUUCUCAAAGUUGUGAAAAUGUGAAAAAAAACUUCAUGAGGUGAAAACUCAAAUUUCGGAGGUGAAUUUGGAGGUUCCAAAAUUUUCAAACCUGCCAAUGGAGUGGACAGACAGAUCCGAAAUUUUUUUCUGAUCAAUUUUGAUAUAUGGAACGUUGAAAUCGGAGCUCGUAUGCGAAAGUUAUGGCUAUUUUACAAACGGACUCCAAAUUAGAGGACAAAAUGGUCGAAAAGUGGGAAAAAUUUGCGACGGUGGCUAGAUAUUGAUGGAAACGGUGCUGGAAAACACACGAACUGGACUCUAACAAGACCUAACAAGCAACAAGACCUCGACGAGGACACAAACUCAACACUGCGGACUCUGAAACUGAAAUAUGCAAAGGCUAUGACACGGAAGGGUUGUAGGACAAGAAAACGAUAUGACACUGCACUUAUUGGACGAACACAAGAACACUUGAAACUAAGGGCAGAUGUGAACCUAAUGGUAUACCUAAAGCUUUUAUUUCCACAUGAUGAGAACAAGGGUGACCCGAUCUUCUGAAAGGUUCUGGUAACUCUCGAUUUGGUGGAGACAAGACAUAAAUCGAUCCGGCUUCCGAACAACACGAUCCGAAAACCGGUAAUUUUUUUAUUUUUUGAUAUUUUCUUUUAGUUAGAGCACCAGAGGAGUAACCACAGAAAAUUUGAGCUUAAACUAGUGAAAGACAUGGCCUACGAAAAUUUCUGAAAAUUGUGAAAAAUGUGAAAAAAACAUCACGAGGUGAAAACUCAAACUUCAGAGGUGAAUUUGGAGGUUCUAAAAUUUUCAAACUCGCCAAUGGAGGGGACAGACAGAUCUCAAAAUUUUUUCUGAUCAAUUUUGAUAUAUGGAACGUUGAAAUCGGAGUUCGUAUGCGAAAGUUAUGGCUAUUUUACGAACGGACUCCAAAUUAGAGGGCAAAAUGGUCCGAAAGUAGGAAAAAUUCGCGGCGGUGGCUAGAAAUUGAUGGAAACGGUGGGGAAAAACACACAAACUGGACUCUAACAAGACCUAACCAGCAACAAGACCUCGACCAGGACACAAACUCAACACUGUGUACUGUGAAACUGAAAUAUGCAAAGGCUAUGGCGCGGAAGGGUUGUAGGACAAGAAAACGAUAUGACACUGGACUUAUGGGACAGACACAAGAACACUGAAAAGUAAGGGUAGAUGUGAACCUAAUGGUAUACCUAAAGCUUUGAUUACUAUAUGAUGAGAAUAAGGGUGACCCGAUCUUCUAAAAGGUUCUGGUAACUCUCGAUUUGGUUAAGAUGAGACACAAAUCGAUACGGCUUCCGAAUAACAUGAUCCGAAACGCUGCAAAAUUUUUUUUAUUUUUUUGAUAUUUUACUUUUAGUUAGGAGCACCAAAGGAGUAACCAUAGAAAAUUUGAGCAUAAACAAAUCAAACACAUGGCCUGCGGAAUUUUCUGAAGACUGUGAAAAAUGUGAAAAAAACUUCAUGAGGUAAAAACUCAAACUUCGGAGGUGAAUUUGGAGGUUCUAAAAUUUUUAAACUCGCCAAUGGACGGGACAGACAGAUCCAAGAAUUUUUUCUAAUCGAUUUUGAUAUAUGGAACGUUGAAAUCAGAGUUUGUAUGCGAAAGUUAUGUCUAUUUUACGAACAGACUCCAAAUUAGAGGACAAAACGGUCCGAAAGUGGGAAAAAUUUGCGGUGGUGGCUAGAAAUUGAUGGAAACGGUGGGGAAAAAUACAUGAACUGAACUCUAACAAGACCUACCCUACAAUAACACCUCGACGAGGACACAAACUCAACACUGCGGACUCUGAAACUGAAAUAUGCAAAGGCUAUGACGCGGAAGGGUUGUAGGACAAGAAAACGAUAUGACACUGGACUUAUGGGACGAACACAAGAACACUCGAAACUAAUGGUAGAUGUGAACCUAAUGGUAUACCUAAAGCUUUGAUUAUCACUUGAUGGGAACAAGGGUGGCCCGAUCUUCCAAAAUGUUCUGGUAACUCUCGAUUUGGUGGAGACGAGACACAAAUCGAUCCGGCUUUCGAAUAACAUGAUCCAAAACCCUGCGUUUUUUAUUUUUUUGAUAUUUUUCUUUUAGUCAGGAGCACCAAAGGAGUAACCAUAGAAAAUGAGCUUAAACAAGUAAAAGACAUGGCCUGCGGACUUUUCUGAAGAUUGUGAAAAAUGUGAAAAAACAUCACGAGGUGAAAACUCAAACUUCAGAAGUGAAUUUGGAGGUACUAAAAUUUUCAAACCCGCCAAUGGAGGGGACAGACAGAUCCAAAAAAUUUUUCUGAUCGAUUUUGAUGUAUGGAAUGUUGAAAUCGGAGUUUGUAUGCGAAAGUUAUGGCUAUUUUACAAACGGACUCCGAAUUAGAGGACAAAACGGCGGUGCCUAGAAAUUGAUGGAAACGGUGGGGAAAAAGACAUGAACUGGACUCUAACAAGACUUAACCAGCAAGAAGACCUCGACCAGGACACAAACUCAACACUGCGGACUCUAAAACUGAAUUAUGCAAAGGCUAUGGCGCGGAAGGGUUGUAGGACAAGAAAAUGAUAUAGCACUGGACUUAUAGGGACAAACACGAGAACACUCGAAACUAAGGGUAGAUGUGAACCUAAUGGUAUACCUAAAGCUUUGAUUUCCACAUGAUGAGAACAAGGGUGACCCGAUCUUCUGAAAGGUUCUGGUAACUCUCGAUUUGGUGGAGACGAGACACAAAUCGAUCCGGCUUCCGAACAACACGAUCCGAAACCCUGCAAUUGUUUUAUUUUUUUUGAUAUUUUUCUUUUAGUUAGAGCACCAAAGGAGUAACCACAGAAAAUUUGAGCUUAAACCAGUGAAAGACAAGGUCUACGAAAAUUUCUGAAAAUUGUGAAAAAUGUGAAAAAAACAUCAUGAGGUGAAAACUCAAACUUCAGAGGUGAAUUUGGAGGUCCUAAAAUUUUCAAACCAGCCAAUGGAGGGGACAGACAGAUCUGAAAUUUUUUUCUGAUCGAUUUUGAUAUAUGGAACAUUGAAAUCGGAGCUCGUAUUCGAAUGAUAUGGCUAUUUUACGAACGGACUCCAAAUUAGAUGACAAAACGGUCCGAAAGUGGGAAAAAUUUGCGGUGGUGGCUAGAAAUUGAUGAAAACGGUGGGGGAAAAUACAUGAACUGGACUCUAACAAGACCUAACCAGCAACAAGACCUCGACGAGGACACAAACUCAAAACUGCGGACACUAAAACUGAAAUAUGCAAAGGCUAUGACGCGGAAGGGUUGUAGGACAAGAAAACGAUAUGACACUGGACUUAUGGGACAAACCAAGAACACUCAAAACUAAGGGUAGAUGUGAACCUAACGGUAUACCGAAAGUUUUGAUUUCCACAUAUGAGAACAAGGGUGACCCGAUCUUCUGAAGUUCUGGUAACUCUCGAUUUGGUGGAGACGAGACACAAAUCGAUCCGGCUUCCGAACAACACGAUCCGAAAACCUGUAAUUUUUUUUUGAUAUUUUUCUUUUAGUUAGAGCACCAAAGGAGUGACCACAGAAAAUUUGAGCUUAAACUAGUGAAAGACAUGGCCUACGAAAAUUUCUAAAAAUUGUGAAGAAUGUGAAAAAAAAACAUCACGAGGUGAAAACUCAAACUUCAGAGGUGAAUUUGGAGGUUCUAAGCUUUUCAAACUUGCCAAUGGAGGGGACAGGGAGAUCUGAAAUUUUUUUCUGAUCGAUUUCGAUAUAUGGAACAUUGAAAUCAGAGCUCGUAUGUGACAGUUAUGGCUAUUUUACGAACGGACUCCAAAUUAGAGGACAAAAUUGUUCGAAAGUGGGAAAAAUUUGCGGCGGUGGCUAGAAAUUAAUGGAAACGGUGGGGGAAAAUACAUGAACUGGACUCUAACAAGACCUAACCAGCAAUAAGACCUCGACGAGGACACAAACUCAACACUGCGGACUCUGAAACUGAAAUAUGCACAGGCCAUGACGUGGAAGGGUUGUAGGACAAGAAAACGAUAUGACACUACACUUAUGGGACGAACACAAGAACACUCGAAACUAAGGGUAGAUGUGAACCUAAUGGUAUCCCUAAAGCUUUGAUUUCCACAUGAUGAGAACAAGGGUGACCCGAUCUUCUGAAAGGUUCUGGUAACUCUCGAUUUGGUGGAGACGAGACACAAAUCGAUCCGGCUUCCGAACAACACGAUCCGAAAACCUGUAAUUUUUUUUGAUAUUUUUCUUUUAGUUAGAGCACCAAAGGAGUGACCACAGAAAAUUUGAGCUUAAACUAGUGAAAGACAUGGCCUACGAAAAUUUCUGAAAAUUGUGAAGAAUGUGAAAAAAAAACAUCACGAGGUGAAAACUGAAACUUCAGAAGUGAAUUUGGAGGUUCUAAGGUUUUCAAACUUGCCAAUGGAGGGGACAGGGAGAUCUGAAAUUUUUUUCUGAUCGAUUUCGAUAUAUGGAACAUUGAAAUCAGAGCUCGUAUGUGACAGUUAUGGCUAUUUUACGAACGGACUCCAAAUUAGAGGACAAAAUUGUCCGAAAGUGGGAAAAAUUUGCGGCGGUGGCUAGAAAUUGAUGGAAACGGUGGGGGAAAAUACAUGAACUGUUCUCUAACAAGACCUAACCAGCAAUAAGACCUCGACGAGGACACGAACUCAACACUGCGGACUCUGAAACUGAAAUAUGCAAAGGCUAUGACACGGAAGCGUUGUAGGACAAGAAAACGAUAUGACACUGCACUUAUGGGACGAACACAAGAACACUCAAAACUAAGGGUAGAUGUGAACAUAAUGGUAUACCUAAAGCUUUGAUUUCCACAAGAUAAGAACAAGGGUGACCGGAUCUUCUGAAAGGUUCUGGUAACUCUCGAUUUGGUGGAGACGAGACACAAAUCCAUCCGGCUUCCGAACAACAUGAUCCGAAACCGUGCAAUUUUUUUUAUUUUUUUGAUAUUUUUCUUUUAGUUAGAGCACCAAACGAGUAACCAUAGAAAAUUUGAGCUUAAACCAGUGAAAGACAUGGCCUACGAAAAUUUCUGAAAAUUGUGAAAAAUGUGAAAAAAACAUCACGAGGUGAAAACUCAAACUUCAGAGGUGAAUUUGGAUGUUCUAAAAUUUCCAAUCCCGCCAAUGGAGGAAACAGACAGAUCCGAAAUUUUUUUCUGAUCGAUUUUGAUAUAUGGAACGUUGAAAUCGGAGCUCGUAUGCGAAAGUUAUGACUAUUUUCCGAACGGACUCCAAAUUAGAGGACAAAACGGUCCGAAAGUGGGAAAAAUUUGCGGCGGUGGCUUGAAAUUUAUGGAAACGGUGGGGGAAAAUACAUGAAUUGGACUCUAACAAGACCUAACCAGCAACAAGACAUCGACAAGGACACAAACUCAACACUGCAGACUCUGAAACUUAAAUAUGCAAAGGCUAUGGCGCGGAAGGGUUGUAGGACAAGAAAACGAUAUGACACUGGACUUAUGGGACGAACACAAGAACACUCGAAACUAAGUGUAGAUUUAAACCUAAUGGUAUACCUAAAGCUUUGAUUACCACAUGAUGAGAACAAGGGUGACCCGAUCUUCUAAAAGGUUCUGGUAACUCAAGAUUUGGUGCAGACGAGACACAAAUUGAUCCGGCUUCCGAACAACAUGAUCCGAAAUCCUGCAAUUUCUUUUAGUUAGGAGCACCCAAGGAGUAACCAUAGAAAUUUUGAGCUUAAACCAGUGAAAGACAUGGCCUACGAAAAUUUCUGAAAAUUGUGAAAAAUGUGAAAAAAACUUCACGAGGUGAAAACUCAAACUUCGGACGUGAAUUUGGAGUUUUCUAAAAUUUUCAAACCCGCCAAUAGAAGGGACACACAGAUCCAAAAUUUUUUUUAAUCGAUUUUGAUAUAUGAAACGUUGAAAUUGAAGUUUUUAUGCAAAAGUUAUGGCUAUUUUAUUAAAGGACUCCGAAUUAGAGGACAAAACGAUCCGAAAGUGGAAAAAAUUUACGGCAGGUGCUAGAAAUUGAUGGAUACGGUGGGGAAAAACACACAAACUGGACUCUAACAAGACCUAACCAGCAACAAAACCUCGACGAGGACACAAACUCAACACUGCGGACUCUGAAACUGAAAUAUGCAAAGGCUAUGGCGCAGAAGGGUUGUAGGACAGGAAAACGAUAUGGCACUGGACUUAUGGGACGAAUACAAGAACACUCGAAACUAAGGGUAGAUGUGAACCUAAUGGUAUACCUAAAUCUUUGAUUACCACUUGAUGAGAACAAGGCUGGCCUGAUCCUCCGAAAGGUUCUGGUAACUCUGGUGGAGACGAGACACAAAUCGAUCCGGCUUUCGAACAACAUGAUCCAAAACCCUACAAUUUUUUUAUUUUUUUGAUAUUUUUCAUUUAGUUAGGAGCACCGAAGGAGUAACCAUAAAAAAUUUGUGCUUAAACAAGUGAAAGACAUGGCCUGCGGACUUUUCUGAAGAUUGUGAAAAAUGUGAAAAGAACAUCGCGAGGUGAAAACUCAAAUUUCAGAGGUGAAUUUGGAGGUACUAAAAUUUUCAAACCUACCAAUGGAGGGGACGGACAGAUCCAAUUUUUUUUUCUGAUCGAUUUUGAUGUAUGGAACGUUGAAAUUGGAGUUCGUAUGCGAAAGUUAUGGCUAUUUUACGAACGCACUCUGAAUUAGAGGAUAAAACGGCGGUGGCUAGAAAUUGAUGGAAACGGUGGGGAAAAAGACAUGAACUGGACUCUAACAAGACCUAACCAACAACAAGACCUCAACCAGGACACAAACUCAACACUGUGGUCUCUAAAACUGAAAUAUGCAAAGGAUAUGGCGCGAAAGGGUUGUAGGACAAGAAAAUGAUAUCGCACUGGACUUAUAGGGACAAACACAAGAACACUCGAAACUAAGGGUAGAUGUGAACCUAACGGUAUACCUAAAGCUUUGAUUACGACUUGAUGAGAACAAGGGUGGCCCGAUCUUCCGAAAGGUUCUAGUAACUCUUGAUUUGGUGGAGACGAGACACAAAUCGAUCCGGCUUCCAAACAACACGAUGCGAAACCCUGCAAUUUUUUUUAUUUUUUUGAUAUUUGUCUUUUAGUUAGAGCACCAAAGGAGUAACCACAGAAAAUUUGAGCUUAAACAAGUAAAAGACAUGGCCUGCUGAAUUUUCUGAAGAUUGUGAAAAAUGUAAAAAUAACUUCAUGAGGUAAAAACUCAAACUUCGGAGGUGAAUUUGGAGGUUCUAAAUUUUUCAAACCUUCCAAUGGAGGGGACAGACAUAUCCAAAAAUUUUUUCUGAUCAAUUCUGAUAUAUGAAACGUUAAAAUCGGAGUUCGUAUGCGAAAGUUAUGGCUAUUUUACGAACGGACUCCGAAUUAGAGGACAAAACGAUCCGAAAGUGGGAACAAUUUGCGGCGGUGGCUAGAAAUUGAUGGAAACAGUGGGCAAAAACAAAUGAACUGGACUCUAACAAGACCUAACCAACAACAAGACCUCGACCAGGACACAAACUCAACACUGCGGACUCUGAAACUAAAAUAUGCAAAGGCUAUGGCGCGGAAGGGUUGUAGGACAGAAAAACGAUAUGGCACUAGACUUAUGGGACAAACACAAGAACACUCGAAACUAAGGGUAGAUGUGAGCCUAAUGGUAUACCUAAAGCUUUGAUUACCACUUGAUGAGAACAAAGGUGGCCCGAUCUUCUGAAAGGUUGUGGUAACUCUCGAUUUGGUGGAGACGAGACACAAAUCGAUCAGCUUCCGAACAACACGAUCCGAAACCCUGCAAUUGUUUUUCUAUUUUUUUUGAUAUUUUUCUUUUAGUUAGGAGCACAAAAGGAGUAACCACAGAAAAUUUGAGCUUAAACAAGUGAAAGACAUGGCCUGCGGAAUUUUCUGAAGAUUGAGAAAAAUGUGAAAAAAACUUCACGUGGUGAAAACUCAAACUUCGGAGGUGAAUUAUGAGAUUCUAAAGGUUUCAAAUCCACCAAUGGAGGGGACAGACAGAUACAAAAAAUUUUCUGAUCAAUUUUGAUAUAUGGAACGUUGAAAUCGGAGUUCGUAUGCGAAAGUUAUGGCUAUUUUUCAAACGGACUCCGAAUUAGAGGACAAAACGGUCCGAAAGUGGGAAAAAUUUGCGGCGGUGGCUAGAAAUUGAUGGAAAUAGUGGGGAAAAACAUAUGAACUGGACUUGAUAAAGACCUAACGAGCAACAAGACCUCGACCAGGACACAAACUCAACACUGUGGACUCUCAAACUGAAAUAUGCAAAGGCUAUGGCGUGUAAGGGUUGUAGGACAGGAAAAUGAUAUGGCACUGGACUUAUGGGACGAACCCAAGAACACUCGAAACUAAGGGUAGAUAUCAACCUAACGGUACACCUAAAGCUUUGAUUACCACUUGAUGAGAACAAGGGCGGCCCGAUCUUCCGAAAGGUUCUGGUAACUCUCGAUUUGGUGGAGACGAGACACAAAUCGAUCCGGCUUCCGAACAACACGAUCUGAAAGCCUACAAUUUUUUUUAUUUUUUUGAUAUUUUUCUUUGAGUUCGGAGCACCAAAGGAGCAACCACAGAAAAUUUGAGCUUAAACAUGUGAAAGACAUGGCCUGUGGAAUUUUCUGAAGAUUGUGGAAAAUGUGAAAAAACUUCGCGAGGUGAAAACUCAGACUUCGGAGGUGAAUUUGGAGGUUUUAAAGUUUUCAAACCCCCCAAUGGAGGGGACACACAGAUCCAAAAAAUUUUUCUAAUCGAUUUUGAUAUAUGGAACAUUGAAAUCGGAGUUCGUAUGCGAAAGUUAUGGUUAUUUUACGAACGGACUCCGAAUUAGAGGACAAAACGGUCCGAAAGUGAGAAUAAUUUGCGGUGGUGGCUAGAAAUUGAUGGAAACAGUGGGGAAAAACAUAUGAACUAGACUUUAACAAGACCUAACCAGCAACAAGACCUCGACCAGGAGACAAACUCAACACUUCGGACUCUGAAACUGUAAUAUGCGAAGGCUAUAGCGUGGAAGGGUUGUAGGACAGAAAAAUGAUAUGGCACUGGACUUAUGGGACGAAUACAAGAACACUCGAAACUAAAGGUAGUUAUAAACCUAAAGGUAUACCUAAAGCUUUGAUUACCACUUGAUUUGAACAAGGGUGGCCCGAUCUUCCGAAAGGUUCCGGUAACUAUCGAUUUUGAGGAGACGAGACACAAAUCGAUCCGGCUUCCGAACAACACGAUCCGAAACUCAGCAAAUUCUUUUUAUUUUUUUGUUAUUUUUCUUUCAGUUAGGAGCACCAAAGGAGUAACCACAAAAAAUUUAAGCUUAAACAAGUGAAAUACAUGGCCUGUGGAAUUUUCUGAAGUUUCUGAAAAAUGAGAAAAAAAACUACACGAUGUGAAAACUCAAAUUUUGGAGGUGAAUUUGGAGGUUCUAAAAUUUUCAAACCCGCCAAUGGAGGGGAUAGAUAGAUCCAAAAAAUUUUUUUGAUCGAUUUUGAUAUAUGGAACACUGAAUUCGGAGUUCGUAUGCGAAAGUUAUGGCUAUUUUACGAUCGGACUCUGAAUUAUAGGACAAAACGGUCCGAAAGUAGAAAAAAUUUGCGGCGGUGGCUAGAAAUUGAUGGAAACGGUAGAGAAAAACACACGAACUGGACUCUAUCAAGACGUAACCAGCAAAAAGACCUCGACCAUGACACAAACUCAACACUGCGGACUCUGAAACUGAAAUAUGCAAAGGCUAUGACAUAGAAGGGUUGUAGGACAGGAAAAUAAUAUGGCACUGGACUUAUGGGACGAACACAAGAACACUCAAAACUAAGGGUAGAUAUGAACCUAACGGUACACCUAAAGCUUUGAUUACUGUUGACGGUCCUUAAUGCUCACAUUUAACCAUCAACUAAUCAUAGAAAAGGAUCCAAAUGCAACCAACACCUAGACUUAAGGUUUUAUCUGACAGAAAUUCCACGAGUUUUGGUGUUUGUCUGUUUCUGCAGGGGGUUAUCAGGAAAUACGAAAGGAAGGCCCACACGUCGGGUUUACAUAGAGAUAUUAACGUGCCGCGCAAUUUUCUAUCAUCUAGAAGACUCCAGAAGCCACGGGACCGAACGGGAGACGUAACGGAGCCGGGCACUGGGCGCCCCCCCUCCCUUACUGGGCGCCCGCCCUCUCCCCUGGACCAAUCAGGGUGAAGUUCGGGGAUCGUGCUCCACCGACCUAAUACUUCAAGGAAAACCACACGAUCAAUGUCGGUUUGAUCCGACGGCCCAGAUUCACUUGAAGGGACUAUAAAACCAGACCCCCCUGGCCCCUGGAGAUCAUACCUCUUCUACAGAAUCAAAGCUAGGGUUUCAAUUCUUCAUCCAAGUAGAGAGGAUCCCUCUAGUUCUUCUAGUUCUACCUCUAGUUCAUCUAGAUCUAGUUCUAGUUCAUCUAGUUCUAGUUCUAGUUCCUCUAGUUCUAGUUCUAGUUAGUUCUAGUUGUAAUCUAGAAAAUAGGGAGAGAGAAGAGGAGAGCGGAGGAGGAGCCGGAUCUGUCGGAUCUUCCUCAACAUUGUACUUUUGCAGCAUCUGGUUCGUUCUUCAUCGUUCUCCAGGUUCUUAAAUUCAUAAUUCCUGAGUUCUUUAAUUACUUUUAUUUACAUUCAAGUUAUUUAUUGGAUUCCCGCUUGCAUCAAGUGCUCUAGUCUUUAUAACGCUAGAGUAGUAAUUAAUAGAUUAGACGUGGUGUUUAGUCUUGCGAUUACCUGGAAUUGCACCCAAUCCCACGGAUUGUUGUGGUAGCCUUAGGGUAGUGACAGCCCUAACGGUCGAUGUAUUCCACCUCGUUCGGAUCGGUGUUUGUAGGACCGUAGUCGGAGCUUCCUAGCCCCCUUCUCAUCUCUUUCUCUGGUUAGUGUUCUGAUGUCCCGAAAUAGAUAAUCUUGAAGUAAUUCUUGAUUCUUAGAUCAACUAGAGAACUCUCAGGAAACUUCCUCUCUUCCCAACAAAAAAUAAUUAUAUAGUUAUCCUUGGGCGAUCUUGAUUCUUAAUUAGUACACUCACGUUCCCUGUGGAAAAUCGAUACUCUGGAAUACUCCCGGGUGAAGGCUACAUCGGUAUCCGUGCGCUUGCGGAUUUUUCUGUUUGCGUUUAAAAUACCCAACAAGCUUUCUGGCGCCGUUGCCGGGGAACGGUAGGUGUGCUAGUUUCGAACCAAGUCGUCCGUGUAUCCUUUUUCUUUUCCUUUUUUAUCACACUCACCUUACUAUUUUCACCAUACCACAUGGAUUUCACUCUAAGCAUUAAUGAGCAUGGAAUUUAUUUCAUAGCCACUUCAUUUACUCCAUGCUCAUAUGCAACAUCUUCACAAUCCAUUGGUCUCUCCAACAUCACCACAUUCGAGAUCUCCAACCCCCUCUUACUUUCUAUUCAUAAAAACUUUAAAAGGGCGGUUGUCGAUGCAUAUGUCUAUAUUAAAUAUUGCAGAUCUCGUUGAGUUGAUCUUGAUAUAGGUCAGCGUUGGAGGGGAAACCACUCACCGACAUAAAUUGAUGGUUUCCCAAGGACAAGCUUAGCGUCCUAAAAUAAGCACUGAUCAGAUCGUAACAUAAGCUUUUAAUUAUUUGCAACACUACCUUGUGUAUUGAGCAUAUAAGGAUAAUUGUAAAAAUAUCCCUUCGGGUAUUCUUGUCACUAACCUUUGCAGGAUUGGAGCAAGAAGAUCGGAUGAAUGACAAGCACAAGGUAUGUCCAACCAAUCAUCAUACAACAUUGAAUUAAAUUCAUCCAAACUUGAAUUUUGCAAAAUUCUAGCUUGGGGGAGUACUUUACAUAAAAACAUCCUUUGCCAUGUUGCUAUGUUGGUUGUCCCUACCUUUGAGACAUGCUCAAUUGGUUAAAUACUAAUCACACUACUUCAUCUCCACUUGAGUAGAUCUCUAUAAAUGCUCUCAUGAUACCUUUAUUUGCUUUAGUAUAUGUCUAGGUUUGGAGUAGUUUCAUAUAUCUCUUAAUUAAGCAUGGUGCUUAGCUAGGAAUGAUGAUCUUACUUCCAAGGGAUUUUAAAUUAAGCAUGGUGCUUAGGUUAAAAUGCCCUCCUGAAUCAAAUUAGACAUGGUGUCUAGGUUGAUUUUUGAGCUGAUAGUAUGCUAUAGUAGAUAUGGGAUAUUUUGUUGGAUUAACCCCUGCAGGAAAACUUUCAAUAUCGACCUGGGAAGUCCUGAGAUAAACUCACAUUGGAGACAAAGAGAGAGACACAUAAAGUUUAACAAUUUACACAAGGAAGGCAUAGCUCACAAGAGAUGAUUCAUGGAGGGUGCCACAAACACGAUGCACAACCGCUAAGAAAGGAAAGCUUCCACAAGGUGAUACUGUACCAUCACUCUUCAAGUAAGGUAACAUCUUAAGGUACUUGACUAUCACUUCUAUAAGCUUUUCCUUGGUUCUGGCAUUCACAUGAAUAAAAGAGACAAACAUGUAUGAUUUACAACUUUAGAUUAAUCAACCCAAUCGAUUCAACAUGUUUAGUCUUUCUACCUUCGUGAUCCCACACUCCUAAUCAUAUAAGCUAAAACGUUGCACAUUCAAUCUUUGGAAGAUAUAAACAAAACAUAAGUAUACAUAGAUUAUCUUUCCAUUAGGUUGAGCGAUGUGAUCUGACAAAUGUUUUAAAUAUUACACUCAUGAUAUUAUUAUCCAUCAACUUGGUCUUGCUCAUUAUGCUUAAGGAUAGAGAAGAAUAAAUACACUUUUGGUUCUGUUGGUGUUUUCCACCAACAGGGCCCAUGCACUUGAUCUCUGCCUUGUCUCUAUGAGCAGGUACACUUUAAGCAAAACAUGGAAGAGUUUUACAACUCCCAGACUCCACCAAGUGAAGAACCUAGAUCUACGAGCACAAACACACUGGAGAGACUGGACACUCAGGCAAUCACUGCCCUAAGAUGCUUGAGGACGUAACUACUGGAGUAACCCAUGGAAGUAAUUACUGACCUUCUGCAGGUCAAGAGAGACAAUCCAGGACGCCCCGUCAUCCCGAUCUCCAUCAGCUUGCAGAUCAGACACUAAGUUUCCCAAAGGGAAUAUUGAAGAACCUCUGCGUCCGAGUUGGUACCUUGUACGCCCCAGCAGACUUCGUGGUGAUAGAGACUGGUACUGAUGAGAGGGCACCCAUCCUAGGGAGGCCAUUCCUGAACACCUCAGGAGCUGUCAUCUACGCUAGUGCUGCCAAGAUCAAUUUCUACAUCAAGGGGAGGAAGGAGACGUUUUCCUUCAAGAACAAGACUACACAAAUCUCAGAGCAAUCCCGACAUGAACCAAGGAAGAGGAUCAACAGGGGGAGCAGGAACAAGCAAAUGUGGACUGAGUCAGCUAAGAUGGUCACUGCAGCUCAACGAGGUCAAGAUCGUCGACUUAAGUCACCGUUCCUGACCAAAAAGGAUGCCGCAAUCACUUAACAGCUCCUCUAUGGAACCAUGUCCCUACAACCGACAUACAUUCAGCUCCAGAUGGCAGAUCAGACAUUCCGUAAGGUUAUUGUCAUGGGAGAAGACGAGUACAAUCCACCCGUCAUCCUUAGAAGACCGUUCCUCAGCACCGUUAAAGCAAUCAUCUACAUUGGAACCGGAGAAGUCCACAUGAACUUCCCCUCUGAGAAGGUACGUCGCUGUUUUACUGACCCUAACUAUAUAGUUGAAGAUUCUAAGCAGGUCAGGACAAGAAGAAGACGACGCAACCAUAACCAGAGGAGGAAAAUCAUAAAGGACGGAUGGGCAGAGUACGAAGGAGAAGUGCACCAAGGCAGGUGUGGAGAAAGAAGAUAGUUAUACAUGAAGAGUAUGCGCCGCCGGAACCACCGACUACGCCAUCCAGCGAAUCCCAGGACGAUUGAGAAAACGGAGAGUCCCGUUCGGAGGACUUAAAAACACCGAACGCCAUGCCAAGAGGUAAACUUGGUAGUUAUCUUUUUCCUUUCAAUUAUUUUAAAAAUAGUUUGCUUAGUUAAUGAGGUUUAUAUCAUCUUAAAAAGAAAAUAAAAAUGUUAAAAAUAGUAAGCCCCAUGUGAGUAUGCUCAUGGCAUAAAACCCAUAAGUACAUUCACUGUGGUGGCAUAAAAAUGAAAUAAAUAUAUUCCUGUCCUAUAAAAAUGAAAAUAUAAAAAUAGAUUUAUGAUCCCACUAAAAAGUGUAAUAUUUAUUGAGGAGACUCAACAUGAUAAAGGCUAGAUAUUUAUGCUAACACUUAACUAGUUCCACAAGCUUUGUUGUCUAUUUGAGCUCCACAGAAUUCAAGGAUCAAAGAAGACGGAGGACAUCCUAGUCGCCGUCAGGGUGCUGCUGACAUUAAAAUAUACCUUUGCCACCUGCUAGCUACAUUAGAAGAAAUUACAUCAAUAUCCAGCUUGGGGGAGAGCACCCCCAUUUAUCCAGCUAAGUGUUCUACUCACGUUUAUAUUUUACUCAAAUAAUAAAAAGAUGCAUGAUCAUAAAAACCCAAAUAAAGUUUUUGUGCUUAUAUAUAUCCUUGCUUAGUUUGCUAAAUAAAUAAAUAAAUAAAGUUUGCUAUGAACCCUCAUGAUAAGCUCUCACAUGGAAAUGAUGAAUAGUUGCUCUGCUAUGACUAGUUCUCAAAAUUGAAAUCUCUCUCAAGUUUAGGCCUAACUGUUAUUAAUUAAGAUUUGCUCUAAACCUGAACUUGUGGGAAGAGUACUUGAUCUGAAGUCUAAGUCGUUAACGGAUAUGAUAUAGGAAGGUUGAGCUGCUGUUUAUCUGUUCUUAGAGAUGCUAGAAUUCUGGAGAAUUUUAUCUUUGAAAAUCUUUAAAAUGUUGCAUGAUGAGUUCCUGUAUGAUGAGAGUUUAAAUUCCUACCACAGCCAGAUAUACAUGCUUGCUAGACUUUGAGCCACACAUUUACUUUUUACUACUUAUGAGCAUUGAGUGUGGUCAAGCUGUGUAGACCCUUAGGAGCUUGUCAUGUGGUUAAAUCAAGAUUCACUUGCACGUUCACUCACACAUGCUACUUCUACUCCGGAAGUACCAUCAAUAUAUAUCCAUUUCCAUCUCCAGAACCACCUAAAAAUAUUCUACUCCUAAUCCAGGAGAGAAUAGCCAAAAAUAUUUCUAUUUUUCCCUGUGAAAUAAAUGCUCAAGUUAUCUUGUUACUACCACUUGCUAUAUUAUCUCAUGAGAUGAGUGCUCUAAUAAAAAAGAAGAAAAAAAAUACGAGGAAAUAAAAAGGGGCAAGUGCCCGGAACCUCGAAAGAAAAAAAAAGUGUGACGAGAGGUAAAAAAUGGACAAGUGUCCGACAGUAGAAUUAGGGGUACAAGAUACCCACCCGAGAGAAAAGAAAAAGAAAAUAUAGAGCAUCUCAUUCUCCUCAAAAAGUUUCAAAAGAGCAAGAAAGGUAUGUAUCCUCUCAAAAGAGCAUAAGUAGAAUUAGACUUUCACCAUUGUUAUCACCAUCAUCACCAUACACCAUUCAUUCGCCACACAUGCACAUCUUGAUUUGACUUAUUGACUUGUUCUUCUGGAUCCAUGGUUUGACUAUGCAAUAUAUGUCUUGUAAGUAUGUAUUAGCUGUCUCCCACCUAUGAGCUCCAGAUAUCAAAACCUUAUUAGAGUAGGGUGAGAGAGAAGGCAAUGUCACUAUGCUUCAUACCAAAAAUACCACAUAUUUUGAGAGAAGGCAUAUACCAUUACUGCCUUGGUAAGGAUCCAGAAAUACCACAAAAGAGAGACUAGAGAGAGUCAUACAAGGAAUCUCUGAGUUUUAUUUGAAAAUCUGCAAAAACUCCAGAGCUAUAGUUAAUCGAAGAACAAGAGACAUGGCGCUUGACUAGACCGUUCUAUCUUUUAACUGCUUAAGACACAAGUGACGGUUGCAAGCCCCAUGGUGGAAGGUAAAAUGAGUAAGUUUAAAUCUUAAUAGUUACCCUAACCCAGAGAUGAGAUCUUUUUUAAAUGCAUGUGCAUUUUUAAGGCAUGAAACCACUGCAGAAACUUUUGAGUCUAUCUUUGCUCAGGGACGAGCAAAGGUUAAGCUUGGGGGAGCUUGUUGACGGUCCUUAAUGCUCACAUUUAACCAUCAACUAAUCAUAGAAAAGGAUCCAAAUGCAACCAACACCUAGACUUAGGGUUUUAUCUGACAGAAUUCCACGAGUUUUGGUGUUUGUCUGUUUCUGCAGGGGGUUAUCAGGAAAUACGAAAGAAAGGCCCACACGUUGGGUUUACAUAGAGAUAUUAACGUGCUGCGCAAUUUUCUAUCAUCUAGAAGACUCCAGAAGCCACGGGACCGAACGGGAGACGUAACGGAGCCGGGCACUGGGCGCCCGCCCUCCCUUACUGGGCGCCCGCCCACCUCUUUCCACCAAUCAGGGUGAAGUUCGGGGAUCGUGCUCCACCGACCUAAUACUUCAAGGAAAACCACACGAUCAAUGUCGGUUUGAUCCGACGGCCCAGAUUCACUUGAAGGGACUAUAAAACCAGACCCCCCUGGCCCCUGGAGAUCAUACCUCUUCUACAGAAUCAAAGCUAGGGUUUCAAUUCUUCAUCCAAGUAGAGAGGAUCCCUCUAGUUCUUCUAGUUCUACCUCUAGUUCAUCUAGAUCUAGUUCUAGUUCAUCUAGUUCUAGUUCUAGUUCCUCUAGUUCUAGUUCUAGUUAGUUCUAGUUGUAAUCUAGAAAAUAGGGAGAGAGAAGAGGAGAGCGGAGGAGGAGCCGGAUCUGUCGGAUCUUCCUCAACAUUGUACUUUUGCAGCAUCUGGUUCGUUCUUCAUCGUUCUCCAGGUUCUUCAAUUCAUAAUUCCUGAGUUCUUUAAUUACUUUUAUUUACAUUCAAGUUAUUUAUUGGAUUCCCGCUUGCAUCAAGUGCUCUAGUCUUUAUAACGCUAGAGUAGUAAUUAAUAGAUUAGACGUGGUGUUUAGUCUUGCGAUUACCUGGAAUUGCACCCAAUCCCACGGAUUGUUGUGGUAGCCUUAGGGUAGUGACAGCCCUAACGGUCGAUGUAUUCCACCUCGUUCGGAUCGGUGUUUGUAGGACCGUAGUCGGAGCUUCCUAGCCCCCUUCUCAUCUCUUUCUGUGGUUAGUGUUCUGAUGUCCCGAAAUAGAUAAUCUUGAAGUAAUUCUUGAUUCUUAGAUCAACUAGAGAACUCUCAGGAAACUUCCUCUCUUCCCACCAAAAAAUAAUUAUAUAGUUAUCCUUGGGCGAUCUUGAUUCUUAAUUAGUACACUCACGUUCCCUGUGGAAAAUCGAUACUCUGGAAUACUCCCGGGUGAAGGCUACAUCGGUAUCCGUGCGCUUGCGGAUUUUUCUGUUUGCGUUUAAAAUACCCAACAAUUACCACUUGAUGAGAACACGGGUGGCCCGAUCUUCCGAAAGGUUCUGGUAACUCUCGAUUUGGUGGAGACGAGACACAAAUUGAUCCGGCUUCCGAACAACACGAUACGAAACCCUACAAUUUUCUUUAUUUUUUUCAUAUUUUUCUUUUAGUUAGGAGCACCAAAGGAGUAACCACAAAAAAAUUGAGCUUAAACAAGUGAAAGACAUGGCCCGCGAAAUUUUCUGAAGAUUGUGAAAAAUGUGAAAAAAACUUCACGAGGUGAAAACUCAAACUUUAGAGGAUCUAAAGUCAAUCAAACCUGCCAUUGAAGGGCACAGACAGAUCCAAAAAAUUUUUCUGAUCGAUUUUUUUAUAUGGAACGUUGAAAUCGGAGUUCGUAUGCGGAAGUUAUGGCUAUUUUAUGAACGGACUCCGGAUUAGAGGACAAAACGGUCCGAAAAUGAGAAAAAUUGCGGCGGUGGCUAAAAAUUGAUGGAAAUAGUGGAGAAAAACAUAUGAACUGGACCCUAACAAGACCUAACCAGCAACAAGACCUCGACCAGGACACAAACUCAACACUACGGACUCUGAAACUAAAAUAUGCAAAUUCUAUGGCGUGGAAGGGUUGUAGGACAGGAAAAUGAUAUGGCACUGGACUUAUGGGACGAACACAAGAACACUCAAAACUAAAGAUAGUUAUGAACCUAAUGGUAUACCUAAAGCUUUGAUUACCACUUGAUUUGAACAAGGGUGGUCUGAUCUUCCGAAAGGUUCUGGUAACUAUCGAUUUGGAGGAGAAGAGACACAAAUUGAUCCGCUUUCGAACAACACGAUCCGAAACUCAGCAAAUUCUUUUUAUUAUUUUUUGAUAUUUUUCUUUCAGUUAGGAGCACUAAAGAAGUAACCACAGAAAAUUUAAGCUUAAACAAGUGAAAGACAUGGCCUGUGGAAUUUUCUGAAGUUUGUGAAAAAUGUGAAAAAAACUUCAUGAUGUGAAAACUUAAACUUCAGAGGUGAAUUUGGAGGUUCUAAAAUUUUCAAACCCGCCAAUGGAGGGGACAAAUAGAUCCAAAAAAUUUUUUUGAUCGAUUUUGAUAUAUGGAACAUUGAAAUCGGAGUCCGUAUGCGAAAGUUAUGGCUAUUUUACGAUCGGACUCCGAAUUAGAGGACAAAACGGUCCGAAAGUGGGAAAAAUUUGCGGCGGUGGCCAGAAAUUGAUGGAAACGAUGGGGAAAAACACACGAACUGGACUCUAACAAGACCUAACCAGCAACAAGACCUCGGCCAGGACACAAACUCAACACUGCGAACUCUGAAACUAAAAUAUGCAAAGGCUAUUGCGUGGAAGGGUUGUAGGACACGAAAACGAUAUGGCACUCGACUUAUGGGACGAAACACUCGAAACUAAGGGUAGAUGUGAACCUAACAGUAUACCUAAAGCUUUGAUUACCACUUGAUGAGUCAAGGGUGGCCCGAUCUUCCGAAAGGUUCUGGUAUCUCUCGAUUUGGUGCAGACGAGACACAAAUCGAUCCGGCUUCCGAACAACACGAUCUGAAAGCCUACAAUUCUUUUUAUUUUUUUGAUAUAUUUCUUUGAGUUAGGAGCACCAAAGGAGUAACCACAGAAAAUUUGAGCUUAAACAAGAGAAAGACAUGGCCUGCGGAAUUUUCUAAAGAUUGUAAAAAAUGUGAAAAAAACUUCACGAGGUGAAAACUCAAACUUUGGAGGUGAAUUUUGAGGUUCUACAAUUUUCAAACCCACCAAUGGAGGGGACAGACAGAUCCAAAGAAAUGUUUCAGAUAGAUUUUGAUAUAUGGAAUGUUGAAAUCGGAGUUCGUAUGCGAAAGUUAUGGCUAUUUUACGGACUACGAAUUAGAGGACAAAACAGUCCGAAAGUGGGAAAAAUUUGCGGCGGUGGCUAGAAAUUGAUGGAAACGGUGGGGAAAAGCACACGAACUGGACUCUAACAAGACCUAACCAGCAACGAGACCUCGACCAGAACACAAACUCAACACUGCGGACUCUGAAACUGAAAUAUGCAAAGGCUAUGGCGCGGAAGGGUUGUAGGACAGGAAAACGAUACGGUACUGGACUUAUUGGACGAACACAAGAACACUCGAAACUAAGGGUAGAUGCCAACCUAAUGGUAUACCUAAAGCUUUGUUUACCACUUGAUGAGAACAAGGGUGGCCCGAUCUUGUGAAAGGUUCUAGUAACUCUCGAUUUGGUGGAGACGAGACACAAAUCAAUCCGGCUUCCAAAUAACACGAUGCGAAACACUUCAAUUUUUUUAUUUUUUUGAUAUUUUUCUUUUAGUUAGGAGCACCAAACGAGUAACCACAUAUAAUUUGACUUUUAAACAAGUGAAAGACAUGGCCUGCGGAUUUUUCUUAAGAUUGUGAAAAAUGUGAAAAAAAACUUCACGGGGUGAAAACUCAAACUUUGGAGGUGAAUUUGGAGGUUCUAAAUUUUCAAACCCACCAAAAGCUAGGACACACAGAUCCGAAAUUUUUGUCUGAUUGAUUUCGAUAUAUGGAACAUUGAAAUUGGAGUUCGUAUGUGAAAGUUAUGGCGAUUUUACGAACGGACUCCGAAUUAGAGGACAAAACGGUAAAUGGGAAAAAUUUGCGGUGGUGGCUAGAAAUUGAUGGAAACGGUAGGGAAAAACACACGAACUGGACUCUAACAAGACCUAACCAGCAACAAGACCUCAAUAAGAACACAAACUCGACACUGCGGACUCUGAAACUGAAAUAUGCAAAGGCUAUGGCGCGAAAGGGUUGUAGGAUACGAAAACGAUAUAGCCCUGGAAUUAUGGGACGAACACAAGAACACUCGAAACUAAGGGUGGAUGUGAACCUAACGGUAUACCUAAAGCUUUGAUUACCACUUGAUGAGAACAAGGGUGACCUGACCUUCCAAAAGGUUCUGAUAUCUCUCGAUUUGGUACAGACGAGACACAAAUCGAUCCGGCUUCCGAACAACAUGAUAUGAAACCGUGCAAUUUAUUUUAUUUUUUUGAUAUUUUUCUUUUAGUUAGUAGCACCAAAGGAGUAACCACAGUAAAUUUGAGCUUAAACAAGUGAAAGACAUGGCCUGCGGAAUUUUUUGAAGAUUGUGAAAAAUGUGAAAAAAAACAUUACGAGGUGAAAACUCAAACUUUAGAGGUGAAUUUUGAGGUUCUAAAAUUUUCAAACCCGCCAAUGGAGGGGAUAGAGAGAUCCAAAAAAAUUUUCGAAUCAAUUUUGAUAUAUGGAACGUUGAAAUCGGAGUUCGUAUGCGAAAGUUAUGGCUAUUUUACGAACGGACUACGAAUUAGAGGACAAAACAGUCUGAAAGUGGGAAAAAUCUGCGGUUGUGGCUAGAAAUUGAUGGAAACGGUGGGGAAAAACACACGAACUGGACUUUAACAAGGCCUAACCAGCAACAAGACCUCAACAAGAACACAAACUCAACACUGCAGACUCUGAAACUGAAAUAUGCAAAGGCUAUGGCGUGAAAGGGUUGUAGGACACGAAAAUGAUAUAGCACUGGACUUAUGGUACGAACACAAGAACACUCGAAACUAAGGGUAGAUGUAAACCUAAUGGUAUACCUAAAGCUUUGAUUAGUAACUCUCGAUUUGAUGGAGACGACACACAAAUCGAUCCGGCUUCCGAACAACACGAUCCGAAACAUGCAAUUUUUUUUAUUUUUUUGAUAUUUUUCUUUUACUUAGGAGCACCAAAGGAGUAGCCACAGGAAAAUUGAGCUUAAACAAGUGAAAGACAUGGCCUGCGGAAUUUUCUGGAAAUUGUGAAAAAUGUGAAAAAAACAUCACGAGCUGAAAACUCAAAUUUCGGAGGUGAAUUUGGAGGUUCUAAAAUUUUCAAACCCACCAAUGAGGGGACAGACAGAUCUUAAUUUUUUUCUAAUCAAUUUUGAUAUAUGGAAUGUUGAAAUCGGAGUUCAUAUGCGAAAGUUAUGGCUAUUUUACGAACGGACUCCGAAUUAGAGCACAAAACGGUCCGAAAGUGGGAAAAAUUUGCGGCGGUGGCUAGAAUUUGAUGGAAACGGUGGAGAAAAAUACAUGAACUGGACUCUAACAAGACCUAACCACCAACAAGACUUCGACCAGGACACAAACUCAACACUGCGGACUCUGAAACUGAAAUAUGCAAAGGCUAUGGCGUGGAAGGGUUGUAGGACACGAAAACGAUAUGGCACUGGACUUAUGGGACGAACACAAGAACACUCGAAACUAAGGGUAGAUGUGAACCUAACGGUAUACCUAAUGCUUUUAUUACCACUUGAUGAGAAAAAGGGUGACCUGAUCUUCCAAAAGGUUCUGGUAUCUCUCGAUUUGGUGCAGACGAGACACAAAUCGAUCCGGCUUCCGAACAACAUGAUACGAAACAAUGCAAAUUUUUUCUAUUUUUUUUUGAUAUUUUUAUUUUAGUUAGGAGCACCGAAGGAGUAACCACAGAGAAUUUGAGCUGAAACAAGUUUAAGACAUGGCCUGCGGAAUUUUUUGAAGAUUGUGAAAAAUGUGAAAAAAAACUUCACGAGGUGAAAACUCAAAAUUUGGAGGUGAAUUUUGAGGUUCAAAAAUUUUCAAACCCGCCAAUGGAGGGGACAGACAGAUCCAAAAAAAAAUUUUGGAUCAAUUUUGAUAUAUGGAACGUUGAAAUCAGAGUUCGUAUGCGAAAGUUAUGGCUAUUUUACGAACGGACUACGAAUUAGAGGACAAAACAGUCCGAAAGUGGGAAAAAUUUGCGGUGCUGGCUAGAAAUUGAUGGAAAUGGUAGGGAAAAACACACGAACUGGACUCUAAUAAGACCUAACCAGCAACAAGACGUCAACAAGAACACAAACUCAACACUGCGGACUCUGAAACUGAAAUAUGCAAAGGCUAUGGCGCGAAAGGGUUGUAGAACACGAAAACGAAAAAGCACUGGACUUAUGGUACGAACACAAGAACACUCGAAACUAAGGGUAGAUGUGAACCUAACGGUAUACUAAUGCUUUUAUUACCACUUGAUGAGAAUAAGUGUGACCUGAUCUUCAAAAAGGUUUUGGUAUCUCUUGAUUUGGUGCAGACGAGACACAAAUCGAUCCGGCUUCCGAACAACAUGAUACGAAACCUUGCAAAUUUUUUUUAUUUUUUUUAAUAUUUUGCUUUUAGUUAGGAGCACCGUAGGAGUAACUACAGAAAAUUUGACCUUAAACAAGUGAAAGACAAGGCCUACGGAAUUUUUUGAAGAUUGUGAAAAAUGUGAAAAAAAACUUCACGAGGUGAAAACUCAAACUUUGGAGAUGAAUUUUGAGGUUCUAAAAUUUUUAAACCCGCCAAUGGAGGGGACAGACAGAUCCAAAAAGAAUUUUGGAUCAAUUUUCAUAUAUGGAACGUUGAAAUCGGAGUUCGUAUGUGAAAGUUAUGGCUAUUUUACGAACGGACUACAAAUUAGACGACAAAACAGUCCGAAAGUGGGAAAAAUUUGCGGCAGUGGCUAGAAAUUGAUGGAAACAGUGGGGAAAAACACACGAACUAGACUCUAACAAAGACCUCGACCAGGACACAAACUCAACACUGCGGACUCUGAAACUGAAAUAUGCAAAGGCUAUGGCGCGGAAGGGUUGUAGGACAAGAAAAUGAUAUGGUACUGGACUUAUGGGACGAACACAAGAACACUCCAAACUAAGGGUAGAUGUGAACCUAAUGUUAUACCUAAAGCUCUGGUUACCACUUGAUGAAAACAAGGGUGGCCCGAUCUUCUGAAAGGUUCUAGUAACUCUCGAUUUGGUGGAGACGAGACACAAAUCGAUCCGGCUUCCGAACAACAUGAUCCGAAACCCUACAAUUUUUUUUUAUAUUUUGAUGUUUUUCUUUUAGUUAGGAGCACCAAAGAAGUAACCACAUAAAAUUUGAGCUUAAACAAGUGAAAGAAAUGGCCUGUGGAAUUUUCUGAAGAUUGUGAAAAAUGUGAAAAAACUUCACGAGGUGAAAACUCAAACUUUGGAGGUGAAUUUGCAGGUUCUAAAAUUUUCAAACCAACCAAAAGCUAGGACACACAGAUCUGAAAUUUUUUUCUGAUCGAUUUUGAUAUAUGGAACGUUGAAAUCGGAGUUCGUAUGUGAAAGUUAUGGCUAUUUUACGAACGGACUACGAAUUAGAGGACAAAACAGUCCGAAAGUGGGAAAAAUUUGCGGCGGUGGCUAGAAAUUGAUGGAAACGGUGGGGAAAAGCACACGAACUGGACUCUAAUAAGACCUAACCAGCAACAAGACCUCAACAAGAACACAAACUCAAAACUGCGGACUCUGAAACUGAAAUAUGCAAAGGCUAUGGCGCGAAAGGGUUAGGACACGAAAACGAAAUAGCACUGGACUUAUGGUACGAACAUAAUAACACUCAAAACUAAGGGUAGAUGUGAACCUAACGGUAUACCUAAUGCUUUUAUUACCACUUGAUGAGAACAAGGGUGACCUGAUCUUCCAAAAGGUUCUGCUAUCUAUCGAUUUGGUGCAGACGAGACACAAAUCGAUUCGGCUUCCGCACAACAUGAUACGAAACCCUGCAAUUUUUUUUAUUUUUUUUGAUAUUUUUAUUUUAGUUAGGAGCACCGUAGGAGUAACCACAGAGAAUUUGAGCUUAAACAAGUUUAAGACAUGGCCUGCGGAUUUUUUUGAAGAUUGUGAAAAAUGUGAAAAAAAACUUCACGAGGUGAAAACUCAAACUUUGGAGGUGAAUUUUGAGGUUCAAAAAUUUUCAAACCCGCCAAUGGAGGGGACAGACAGAUCCAAAAAAAAUUUUUGGAUCGAUUUGAUAUAUGGAACGUUGAAAUCAAAGUUCGUAUGCGAAAGUUAUGGCUAUUUUACGAACGGACUACGAAUUAGAGGACAAAACAGUCUGAAAGUGGGAAAAAUUUGCGGUGGUGGCUAAAAAUUGAUGGAAACGGUAGGGAAAAUACACACGAACUGGACUCUAAUAAGACCUAACCAGCAACAAUACCUCAACAAGAACACAAACUCAACACUGCGGACUCUGAAACUAAAAUAUGCAAAGGCUAUGGCGCGAAAGGGUUGUAGGACACGAAAACGAAAAAGCACUGGACUUAUGGUACGAACACAAGAACACUCGAAACUAAGGGUUGAUGUGAACCUAACGAUAUACCUAAUGCUUUUAUUACCACUUGAUGAGAACAAGGGUGACCUGAUCUUCAAAAAGGUUCUGGUAUCUCUCUAUUUGGUGCAGACGAGACACAAAUCGAUCCGGCUUCCGAACAACAUGAUACGAAACCUUGCAAUUUUUUUAUUUUUUUAAUAUUUUGCUUUUAGUUAGGAGCACCGUAGGAGUAACCACAGAAAAUUUGAGCUUAAACAAGUGAAAGACAUGGCCUACGGAAUUUUUUGAAGAUUGUGAAAAAUGUGAAAAGAACAUCACGAGGUGAAAACUCAAACUUUGGAGAUGAAUUUUCAGGUUCUAAAAUUUUCAAACCCGCCAAUGGAGGGGACAGACAGAUCCAAAAAGAAUUUUGGAUCAAUUUUCAUACAUGGAACGUUGAAAUCGGAGUUCAUAUGUGAAAGUUAUGGCUAUUUUACGAACGGACUACGAAUUAGAGGACAAAACAGUCUGAAAGUGGGAAAAAUUUGCGGCGGUGGCUAGAAAUUGAUGGAAACGGUGGCGAAAAACACACGAACUGGACUCUAACAAAGACCUCGACUAGGACACAAACUCAACACUGCGGACUCUGAAACUGAAAUAUGCAAAGGCUGUGGCGCGGAAGGGUUGUAGGACAAGAAAAUGAUAUGGUACUGGACUUAUGGGACGAACAUAAGAACACUCCAAACUAAGGGUAGAUGUGAACCUAAUGUUAUACCUAAAGCUCUGAUUACCACUUGAUGAGAACAAGGGUGGCCCGAUCUUCUGAAAGGUGCUAGUAACUCUCGAUUUGGUGGAGACGAGACACAAAUCGAUCCGGCUUCCGAACAACAUGAUCCGAAACCCUACAUUUUUUUUAUUUUUUUGAUGUUUUUCUUUUAGUUAGGAGCACCAACGAAGUAAUCACAUAAAAUUUGAGCUUAAACAAGUGAAAGACAUGGCCUGUGGAAUUAUCUGAAGAUUGUGAAAAAUGUGAAAAAACUUCACGAGGCGAAAACUCAAACUUUGGAGGUGAAUUUGCAGGUUCUAAAAUUUUCAAACCCACCAAAAGCUAGGACACACAGAUCCAAAAAAUUUUUCUG
This 74267-nucleotide long non-coding RNA is filed under the name Sorghum bicolor (sorghum). RNAcentral describes it as "long non-coding RNA (SBIC_LNC012757)". Lineage: Eukaryota; Viridiplantae; Streptophyta; Magnoliopsida; Poales; Poaceae. The record is from RNAcentral.